ACACAACAUCUUUAUUUUUAUGUGGUGCUGAGGAUCGAACCCAGUGCCCCACGCAUGCCAGGUGAGUGUGUUACUGCUUGAGCCACAUCCCCAGCCCCGAAUCUUUUGUAUUAGUUUUUUUUUUUAAAAGAAGAAUUUUUUUGUGUGUGUUAGAGAUCGACUUGGCCCUUGUGUUGUGCAGUUAGGCAAGCUUUUUACCACUGAACUACAUUCCCAGCCCAAGGAAAAUUAAAAAAAAAAAAAAAAAAAGCUGUUAUUCAUGUUAGCUUUUCAUCUUGCUUCUAAAGGUAGGGUGGAAAACUGGAAAUAGAAAUGUCUAGGUAACAGAGCAGCCCAAAGGGAAAAGUUCUAUGUGUUUGAGAGUACUUGUUUGUACCCUUAAUGUUUGUAAACUCGAAAUUGUUAAGAGGUUGUAAAAGUUACUGGGUCUCAUGUGCAUGCUAGUUAUAAUUAUUUUACCUUGUAUAUAUAUAGCUUUUCUUAUAUAAAAGUCUUUAAGUUGGAGAAUAUUUGCUAUAUGUAUAUUUCACGAUUGUUUUUUGAUAUUUGCCUGACUUUGGCCUUUGAUUUCUUUCUUAGAAAUGACUGCUGUUCACACAGGCAACAUAAACUUCAAAUGGGACCCCAAAAGUCUAGAGAUCAGGACUUUGGCAGUUGAAAGACUAUUGGAGCCUCUUGUUACACAGGUAAGAAUCUGAAAACACAAAUACAUAGUUGUAGCAUGGUUCUAUAGCAGUAGGCUUGAGUAGACCAAGGUUAUUUCUUUCAAAGUCUUAAUAUGAUUGGUUGAAUUUAGUGUGAUAGUUUUUAUAUGAUUUGGCUCAUCUAAUAAUUGAAUAUUGAUACAGAGAUUUAUUUAAUUCGUUGGAACACAUUGCUACAAUUUUCUUGAGUCAUAUUGCCAAUAGUGGAGGCUGUUGGUAUAUAGAGCAGAUUUUUAGAUAUUGGCACUUUGAGAGAACUUCACCCUUCCUUAAAGGGGAAACUCAAGGAAGUUGUGAUAUGGAUCCUUGUUAAGGUUCCUUACUCAGCUUAAUGCCCUUUGUUUUCUUUUUUUUAAAAAAAAAUUUUUUUUAGUUGUAGAUGGACACAAUACCUUUAUUUUAUCCAUCUAUCUAUCUAUCUAUCUAUCUAUCUAUCUAUCUAUCUUUAUGUGAUGCUGAGGAUCGAACUCAGUGCCUCACACAUGCCAGACGAGUGUACUACCACUGAGCCAUAACCCUAACCCCCAGCUUAAUGCCCUUUCAUUGUGUAGGAUUAAUUAGCAGGUAAUUGAAUUUGAGGGCAUAGUUUUGGGUAUUCUGUUACAAAUACAUGUAUCAUAAUGUGAUGGCAUUUAUCAAUUGUCAGUAAUUAGCUAUGCGCUUUUAGUAUUUUGGUAUAGUUUACAUGUAUGUGUGAGAGAAUAUGAGAUAUAUCAAGUAAGUAGCAUUUGACAAUCUUUUAAAAAAAAUUCUAUUCCAACUUACAGAUGUAAACUAGUAUUUUAUAUAUCUCUAUAUAGGAGUGUAUGGUAAGAGUGGAAUAUUUACUCUCUGGACCCCGUGUACUAUAGCCGUCUUUUGUUUGGCAGAUUUACACUAUAACAAAUCAUUAAUCAUUUCAUCCUACGGAUCAUAAGGUAUUAUACAUAUUAAUACUGAUUAGUAUUCUGGGACUUAAAGCAUCAUCACAGUAGGCUUCUAUGGGUAGUCACUCUUCUUUUUAAUGACCUUUACUAAUUAAUUGCUAAGAUUUGUGAGAAUAAACUGAACAAAGACUUCAGAAGCAAAUUAUCUUAAAAAUGUUUUGUAAACAUUGAUAACAAUGACAAAAUGUGGCUUUCUGGUGAAAUUCAUUGUCAACUUAUUUAUUUAUUUAUUUGUGAUGCUGGGGAUUGAACCCAGGGUCUUGUGCAUGUUAGGCAAGCAAUCUUCGAAAUGAGCUAUAUUCCCAGCCCUCAUAUUGUUAAUCUUUCUAGAACUUCAUGGUGACAUAGAAGAGAGAUAUCUUAACUUAUUUCUUCUUUCUUUUUUUUUUUUGUUUUGCUUACAAACAAAACUUUUUUGAAAAAACACCAAAAUUGGAGAUCAAACAUAAUUACAUUAUCUUGGUAGGGUAACUAGAAAUACUGAACUUAUAAGGCUUUUGUGAGAAAACACAAAUUCAGGAAGUUGUACGUCAUUAACAGUUUCUUCUUCUAAAUGAACAACCUUCUGUGAGUUUGGCCUUUCCUCUUAUAGGCUGGUACAACAGUGUCAAACAACCUACACAAAGAACCGCUGAGCAUGGCUGAGAACUGUGGAAAUCUUGUUGCAACCUGAACAUUUUACAUACAUAAAAUAAGAAUUUGGACUUUGAACUAGUCAUUUCUUAUGUUUUUUUAUUUUCCAAGGAAGGAUUAAACAGAUCUCUAGCCAAUCAGCAGAGACAAUGAUUCAGAAGUUAAAGUUAUUUUUAAAUAAUACCAUUUUCAUCAAUAUUCCGUGUUCCCAAGUUCCUAAUUUGUAAAGUCAAAAUAUUUUUUAUUGCUGGGUAUGGUGGUGUAAGCCUCUGUUUCUAGCGACUUGGGAGGCUAAGGUUCCUUACUCAGCCUUUAAAGCCAGCCUCAGCAACUUAGUGAAGCACUUAGUAACUCAACUGUCUCUAAAUAAAACAAAAAAGGGCUGCUGGGGAUGUGGCUCAGUGGUUAAGCGCCUCUGGGUUCAAUCACUGGUACCUCUACACACACGUUUAUAUUUAUAUUUGUAUAUUAUCUUACACAUUAAGGAAGCUAAGUUAUUUUGAAACCUAAGUUUAGUAUCAUUGCUUUAUAUCUUAAAUAUGGUAAGAGUUGUUAUUUAAUGCUUACUGCAAUGUUUCCUUAUGAAUAAUUUACUGAUGCUAUCUUUUAGGUUGUUAGUCUUUCUUUUGUUUUCAUUUUAGAUGACUGCGAUUUAAUUAAUUUUUAAAAUGAAACCUUUAGGUUACAACCCUGGUAAACACCAACAGUAAGGGACCCUCUAAUAAAAAGAGAGGUCGUUCUAAGAAGGCCCACGUUUUGGCUGCAUCUGUUGAACAAGCAACUGAGAAUUUCUUGGAGAAGGGGGAUAAAAUUGCAAAGGAGAGUCAGUUUCUCAAGGAGGAGCUUGUGGCUGCUGUAGAAGAUGUUCGAAAGCAAGGUAGGUCAAUAUUUUUUUUUUAUAUAGAGGCAAGCCUUUAUAGAAAAUUGGUCGUACUCCCCCCCGCCCCCCGAAUGCAAUCCAGGACCUUGUAUAUGCUAGGUAAUAACCCUGCCACUGGGUUACAUCCCCAGGUUCUGCAAAAGCCAUCUUUGGAGGAAAUUUUGUGUGGUCAGUAGUCAGUGCUUGCUACUUAAUUAUUCAGUAACUUAUAAUAUUUAUUUGAGUUGUCUAAUUAAUUGUACAGGUGCAUAUUUUAAUCAGAAGAUAUGCUUACAUUAAAAUGUCUUUUUGGAGAGUCUGAAUCUACUUCUCUUGGGUGUUUCAAGAAUUAGUUAAGUCACAGAAAUGUUAUUGCACAAUUCUAAAGGGUAUAAAAGUGACAGAAGUUUUAUCUUUCUUCUUGUGAUACCUCUUCUUAAUUCAUAGUAAUGAUAUUGGAUAAUGUGAAACAUUUAGCUUGAUAAUAUUCAUUACUCUAAAAAUACCCUAGAAAUUUGUCCUGUACUUUCACACUAGUAUGUUAAAUCAUCUAUGCAUAUUUGUACUGGUUUGUGUUUGACAUAAAUAUAUCUGGGCAUAAAGAAAAAUAAAAUUAUGGCAUUUGCUGGCAAAUGGAUGGAACUGGAAACUAUCAUGCUAAGUGAAAUAGUCCAAUUCCAAAAAACCAAAGCUAAAUGUUCUCUCUGAUAUACAGAGGGAAGAAUAUAAAUUCAUUGGAUUAGACAAAGGGUUAGGGAGAUGGCAUAGGAAAGACAGAAGAAUGAAUCGGACGUAACUUUCCUAUGUUCAUAUUGAAUACAUGACCAGUAUAACUCCACAUCAUGUACAACCACAAGAAUGGGAAGUUAUAUCCCAUGUAUGUAUGUCAGAAUACAUUCUACUGUCAUGUACAACUAAAAAGAACAAAUAAAAAAAUUAUAUUAACUCAUUUAAAAAAAUAUCUUGGCUUACAUGAAUCAUGUUUUUGUCAACUCAAAAUUGAAUAGGUAAAAUGGUAAGUUAAUCCACACCUUACCAGUAAUUAUUAUUAGAAAAAUUAUCAUUGUUACACUGUAAAUUUGAAAAGAAGACUUUAAAUCUGGAAGAUAAUUUUUUUUUUUUUUUUUGGGUGCAGUACAGAGGGUUGGACAUAGGACCUUGCACAUGCUAAGCAAGGGCUCUGCCAUUAGCCACAUCCCCAGUCCUUUUUAUUUUACUUUGAGACUGGGUCUCAGUAAAUUGUCUUGACUGCCCUUGAACUUUCUAUCCUACUUUUAGUUUUCAUAGUAGCAAGGAUAAUAAGCAUAUACCACUAUGCCCUACUGAGGGUAAACUUAUUGAAAUCUGUAGUUCUGUGUUAGACCUGUGUUCUAGUAGGAGCAAUUCAACAAAGAUGUAAGUUUUGUAGGCCAUUGGAUAUCAGCUAAGGUGAAUUGAGCCUCUAAUAUGGACAGUGCUUUACUGGCCUUUAGGAGGACUUCACUUCUGGUACCCUAAAUAGCAAAGUACAUAGGCCACUGGAGUCUAAGUCAAAUUCAUCCUUGUGACAGUACCCAAAAGGAGGAGUAUCUUUGAUAGAGAUGACAUUUCCAGUUGUUCUGAAUUUGUGAACUAAAAACCUUAUUUGGGGGCUGGGGUUGUGGCUCAGUGGUAGAGCACUCGCCAUGCAUGUGUGAAGCCUUGGAUUUCAUACCCAGCACCACAUAAAAAUAAAUAAAUUAAAUAAAGGUAUCAUGUCUAUCUAGAACUAAAAUCUAUCUAUCUAUCUAUCUAUCUAUGUAUCUAUCUAUCUUAUUUGGUGAAUAUUUCAGUUUCAGGCUGAAGAUAAAUAUCUCUAAUACUAAAAAUAAUGAAAUUAUUAAAAUUUUUAAUAUGAGUGGGGUGGCUAUAUUAGUUUCCUAGGCCUGCCAGAAUAUAAAUUAUUAUAAAUUUGAUGGCUUAUAACAAUAGAAACUUAUUCUUCCGUAAUUCUAGAGGUAAAAAAUAUGAAAUUAGGGACUGGGGUUGUGGCUCAGAGGUAGAGCACUCGCCUUGUGCGUGUGAGAUCUGGGUUCCAUCCUCAGCACCACCUAAAAAUAAAUAAAUAAAUGUAUUGUGUCCAACUACAGCUAAAAAAUAAAUAUUUUUUUAAAAAGAGGGUGGCUGGGGUUGUGGCUCAACGGUAGAGCACUAGCCUAGUAUGUGUGAGGCCCUGGGUUCGAUCCUCAGCACCACAUAAAAAUAAAUAAAUAAAGGUAUUGUGUCCAACUAUAAAAGUAAAAUAUUAAAAAAAAAUAUGAGGGCUGGGAAUAUAGCUCAGUUGGUAGAGUGCUUGCCUUGCAUGCACAAGGCCCUAGGUUCAAUUCCCAACACUGACCCCCCCCCCCAAAAAAAAAUAUAUAUAUAUCUAUAUAUAUGAAAUUGUAGUUUUGGCAGGCUUGGUUCCUUCUUGGGGUUCAGGAAGAAUCUACUCCAUGCCUUUCUCCUGGCUUCUUUUAUAUUUUUGCAGAUUGGGAAUUGAACCCAGGGGCACUUUACCACUGUGCUACAUUUCUAGUCCUUUUUAUUUUUUUAGAUAGGGUCUUGUGAUCUUGAACUUGGUGAUUCUUCUCUCUAAACCUCCAAUCACUGGGAUUUCAGGCAUGUGCCUCCACACUGUGCUGUUCUUGCUUCUUGGGUUACUAGGAGUUGGAGAAAAGGCACUCCAAUCUCUGUUUUUUGUCACAUACCAUACUGUUUUUCUUGUGUAUCUCUGUGUCCAUAUUUCCCUUUCCUUCUAAGAGCAUCAUCAGUCAUUGAGUUAGGGCUUUCAUCCUAAUCUAGUGUGACCUCAUCUUAACUUGAUAACCAUCUGCAAAAACUCUAAUUUAAAGUUCACAUUCUAAAUAAGUUCACAUUCUAAAUAAGUUCACAUUUACAGGUUCUGGGUGGAUAUGAAUUUCUAGCCUAGUACAAGGAUUCGAAUUUGUUUUAAAGCAGUGCUUUUUAUCUUCCCUUUUGUAUUCUAGGCAAGUAUCCGGUCUGUAUCCCCAGCCCCUUAGCAGUUUAAUGUCCAGUUUAGGAACAUUUUGAGCUUUCUGCAGAGGAAAUUAAAAUGACUCUUACUUCAUUUUCCUCUAUGGAAAAGUUCUGUUCCCCAGCCCUUCUUAUAGCCUGUAGUGAAAUUCCACAGUUGUAACAGAUGUGUUUGGCCAAGUCUUCAUUGUGUCUACUGACCAAAACAUUUUAAAAAUAUAUUUAAUUGUUGCAGGUAAUAAUAUACAUAUAUUUCUUGUUUUAGAAGUAUCUCUGAUGCAAAUCAUGGUAUAAUCCACACAUUCUCCCUCAAACUGCCCCGCCCCCCUUUUGAAUGCAGAUCUGAAUUUCUCUUUGCUUGUUAUUUUUGUUUAUAUCUGUGAAAAUCUUGUAUGUGAUUCUGAAUCAUAAAGACUUGUUUUCCUGGUCCAACUUUUCAGUUACUUAUGAUCAUGGUCCUAUUCAUCAUAAUUUGUCUUUCUGCCAGGGGUUGGGGGUAGGGUAGAGAAAUACAACCAAACUAUAAUUGUCUCCCAUCAUCAUUGCAUCAGAUAGAAAAAGCUGAAGUGCUUUGCUUUUUUUGUUGGCUAAGUUUUUUCUUUGGAGAAUAUUAACAAUUGGUGAUAAACCCUGUUUUCUGUCAUUAGUAAAACAAAAUAUAUAUUAUGAAAAUGAUUAAGCACAGAUUUAAAAAAAAUCAGAUAAGACUCUGUUUUGUUGCUGAAGCUGUUUAUUCAUGUUUGGAACCCUGAAGUAGUGUUGCUAUCUAGAUUUUUUGAUGGCCUCCCUUAAAAAAGUGGAGCCUAACCUCAAACCUCAGCAGUGUUGCUUGGACUUAGUAACUCAGUUCUGUAAUGGAAUGUGGAGGAAGUGAUGUGAUCUACUUUGGAGGCAAAGUUAUAAAAAGGGAUCAUAUUUACCUGACUUUUUCUCAUGGAAUAUUCACUCUGGGGAAGGCUGGCUGCUAUGCCAGAAAACACUUAUGAGGUCCUGUAGAGAGGAGCUGAAGUAUCUGUCAGCAGUCAGCACAACUUUGUCAGUCAUGUGAGUUAACUCCCUUAGAAGUAGAUCCUCCAACUCUAAUCAAGUUUCAAAUGACAUUAACCAACCAACUUUAAAUCCCUGGCCCACAGAGAAACCCAGGAGAUAAUAAAUGUUUUAAGCUAUCAGCUUUUAUAAUAAUCGUUAGGCAGCAAACGAGAAUUAUUAUAAACACCUUUGCUGGCUUGACUUCAGUGGUUUUGAGCAUUAAUGCAAAAGCUUGACCUAACUGUAGUCAUUUUUACUAGUAUAUAAAAUAAAUGCUUAUCUAUGGAAAGUCCUAGUUGCUAAAGGAAGUGUAAGAAAAUUGUCAUUUACCAGCAAUUACUUUUGUUUAGAAUAAUGUUUGGCAAAUUUUUUUUGGUUAAGGGCCAGGGAGUCAAAUCUGUUGAAACUAUUGUUACUUCUGUCUUGGGAAAGCAGCUACGGACAAUAUAUAACAGAUGGGCAUGGUCUUGUUUUAAUAAAACAAAACUUAUUUAUAAAUACAGGAGGUGGGCUAGAGUUUUGGAGGGUGGGGGUACUGGGAAUUUAACCCAGAGGUGCUUUACCACAGAGCUACAUCCCUAAGCCUUUUGAUUUUUUUUUUUUUUUUUUUGAGACAGGCUCUCAAUAAGUUGCUGAGACUGGUCUUGAAUUUGCUAUUCUCCUGCCUCAGACUGCUGAGCUGCUAGGAUUACAGCAGUGUGCCACCAUGCCCAGCAGCGAGUUGGGCCAGAUUUGAUUUAUAGGCUGUAGUUUGCCUAACCCCUAACCUAGGUGUUUUUUUUUUUUUGAGACUAAUAAAAUUAUAAGGUUACUAUUUUAAAAGUAGUAUUUGUUCAUAAUUUAUUUAUAACACUUAUGAGCCAAAAAAUUAAGCCUUGUAUGUCUUUGGGUUUGUACACAUUCUAUGCAGUCAUAAUGAACAUCUAGAAACUUGAUUUUUACAUGGCUAACGUAAGACUAGAAAAACGCCGCACCACACGACACAGAUUACCAAAGAGGUUUCCGCUUUAUUACAAAAGGCUGUGUGUUUAUAUAGGUCUAAGAGAGGUAGCAGGGGCUGAGGUAGAUAACAGGUCGCCCGUUUAUUGGCAAGCUCUUCCAUAUGUCAGUUCCGGAGCCCAAGAAGUUAAUUCUAAUUGGGGCUAAGGCUUCCCACCAGCAGGAUUUGAACAUUGGCACCGGCGGGAACGUUUCACGCCAGUGAAAGAAACAAAGAAGAGAAGGAGGGUCGUUAGACGCCAUGCUGGGGUUUUUCUCUGGGGUGCGGCUGCCUUAUGUUUUCCCAACAUUCCUCCCUUUUUUGUUUUCUUAGAAAGUGGGGCGUCGUUGGUCAGAUCCGGCUGCUUCCUGCUGUGUUGGGGCGGCGUGGGCCUAGAAAGGGAAGUGGAGGAAUGUUCGGGGGCGGGGGGGGGGGCGCAGGNGGGGGGCAGGUCUGGGGAUAUCAUGGCAACCAGAAAUAAAACCCAGUGGCUAUAGACAGCUACUUCCGUAGGGGUGAAGUCUAUGAAAGUUCCCUGAAAUCACAAGUUGUUGAUGGCAUUGAACCAGUCCUGGAUGGAGGAGAUUGUUGGUAUCAGCCACUGGUCCUGUAACAGAGACUCUAGGAAAUAUUGAAAGCGUUGCCUUGACAUGGCGUCACCAGCACCUAAAGAAAAUCAGAGCGAACAAAAACAGGAUGAAGAUAAAAUUAAAGCAAAUGUCAGUUUUUUGGCAGAAGUUCCAUGUCGGGGGACUGACAGAGAAGAGGCCAAGGGCCAUAAGGAGGCUUAAAAGGACAUAAAGGCUUAAAAAUCCAGGAUGGCAGAUUAAGAGGUUCUCCGGGCUCAUUGUCUUCCGCUGUCCGUUGCAUUCCAUCGCGCCUGGUAGUGAGCUUCAGCAAUGAGUGAGCUGUUCUCUUGAAGAUGUUGGGGGCUCAUCGGUCAUCAGAGGCUGGUAGUACCUAAGCAGAGGCUGGCUGAAAAUUUGGUUAGAGAUCUUCCGUAAUUGGCCCUGUAGGAAGCAAAGCAGACAGGGCAGGAACAGACACAUCAGGAAAAGAAGAUGUAUGGGCCCUAAAAGAGGCAACAGCCAUGAUUGGAAGUGGGCUAAAAAGAAGGUGGCAAAUGGGUUUUGGUUUGGUGGAUUUUUCAAAGAGGUAGCCAAGUCGGUGAGCUUGACUACAUUAAUUUCCACAAGGCCUGAUUCGUUGAUGUAGUAACAGCAUUCUUCCCUCAAGAAAAGACAGGUUCCACCUUUUUCGGCUGUGAGUAAGUCUAUAGCUCGUCAAUUUUGAAGAGUAACUUGAGCCAAGGAUGUGACCUGCCUUUGUAAAGAUGCUAGAGAUUCUGCCGUAGAAGUGAGCGCUUGUUCAAGUUUAGAACUUAAGUCCUGUACAGCCCAUAAGGAGUGUCCUAGAGCUCCACCAGAAAUUCCGGCUCCCGCUACAGAUACAGCCAGUGAGAGAUCCACCAGUAUUGGAAGGGAAGCAGCCCGCUUAUUCUGCACUGGGGGAGACAAGAGGGCCUGCACUUCAGCUGGGGUAUAGAGAGUCAAUUGCGGGACAAGCGUCACCAGUAUACAUGGGGUAGAGGUGUUGGUGAAUAAGAUAGUGAUGAGAGAACCAUUACACCAGAAGAAUGAGCCAGGUGGUGCAUAGAGGGUGAAGUUAAAGGUGAUGUUAGAGUGGCAAAACUUUGACUGGGAGACACCCAAGCCCAGGAGGCAGCGCCGGGGAAUCACAGUAUGGUUAGACUCCUCGGGCUCCCAUAAUGGAGCAUCAGGUGAAAGGGUUCGGAGAGAACGGCGGGCAGAUGGAGUGGAGAAAUUUGAGAGGUCAGAAGCCNAGAAGUUCAAGGGAACCGCUGCAAGCAAAGGUCGAGUCAGAGAGGCGCAUAAGUAGCAAUCAGUUGGUGUGAUGGCGGGGAGGGUUAGAUUUAAGAAGGUUACAGUUUCAGUAAGUAGUCGUAGCCAUGAAUACUGUGGUGGACUCCCGACAUUAGGCUCAUAUGGAUCCUGUAUGGAGUCUAACAACUGCUGUUCGGAAUGCUUUAUGUCAGUAGAGAUUAUAGCUACUGAGGGCUGGGAGGGUUGAAGCUCUUGGGAGAUGGAGAUGGAGCCACAGGGGGUGGGAGAUGAUAUGUCACAGUAGAAGGAAGCAUUUACCCUAGAGGUCCAGCGUGGAUGGUUAGGGUCAGUGAUAGCCAAUUGAUAGCCUCCCGAGAUCAAUCUGAAAUUUCCAACGCAGGAACCCCCAAUGCAUGAAUGUGGGUUAUGAACGUUACAUGACCAGUAGGGGCAUCCCCCAUAGGUUUCGGGCCACCAUUUGCAGUAAUCCUCUGUCUGAUCAUAUAAGAAGCAAAGGUAAGGCCUAGUGGCUAUUUUUAAAAGUUCAGAAUUCUGGGAGGAGAGGGAAAGGAAGAUAGAUGCAUUACAUCUGGUAGGGGCGCAAUCGACUGAAGAAACUAGGUGAGUGUAACGAGGACAUAUGUCUCGUUACAUAUGCCUUGGACAUAUGUCUCUGUGACUUUGAAUCUCCAAGUAUCAUGGUGGAGUAGGGCAGGUGGGACACAAGAGGAGGAGUGACAGGAAAGUUUUAGUUGAUUAAGAAAGGCAUCCAUAGAAUAGCUCAAAGGGGCUAAGGCCUGAGGGGGCUCUAGGAGUUGCCCGAAUUUGGGUGAGGGCCAAUGGCAAAAGAUUGGGCCAGGACAGUCUGCGUUCAAUAGCAAGUUUAGUGAGAUGAUCCUUGAGAAUGCCAUUAGGCCUCUCAACCUUACCCGAGGAUUGGGGUCAGUGGGGGAUGUGGAGCCUCCAAGUGCUGUUAAGGCCUUUGGAAACUAGUUAAACAAUCCGAGAAGUGAAGGCUGGACCGUUGUCUGACUGGAUGGAGGCAGGAAGUUCAAACCUAGGAAUGAUCUGCUUAAUGAGGAUGAAGGCGACAGUGUCAGCAGUUUCCGAUGGUGUCAGCAGUUUUCCUGGAGGUAGGGAAGGCUUCUGUCCAACUGUUAGACAGUGCUAUCCCCAAAUUACAAACAGUUAAAUCCUAUGUCAAGGCCUGACCAAAGUGGUAGGGACUGUCCCUAAAGCCUUGGGGUAGGCCUGUCCAUGUCAGCUGUUGAAACCUAAAGAAUGUAAGGUCUUCCCAUGUGAAGGCAAAGAGGUAAUAAAGUCAGGAUGCAAAGGCACUGUAAAAAAGCCAGCUUUAAGGUCCAGGACAGUAAAGUGAAUGGUCAAAGGGGGAUAUGAGAAAGAAAAGCAUGAGGGUUGGAAACCGAGUGGAUGGGAAUAACUGCCUCAUUAAUUAGGUGGAGUUCCUGGACUAAGCGAUAGGCUCCGGAGGGUUUGCGCACCGGCAGUAUGGGGGUGUUGCUGGGGGAGUCAGUAGGAGUAAGGAGUCCCUGGGCCAGCAACCGGUCUAUAAUGGGUUUAAGUCCCUCCUUAUGGGUUUUGGAGAUAGGAAAUUGGGAACACAAGGAAGUUUAGUUUGGUGUUUCAGCUGGGUAUGGACUGGCUUGUGGUGGGAGGCAAUAACCAGCAUGGAGAUGUCUCAGACCUAGGGAUCAGGGGGCAAUGGCACAGUAGGUACUGUCAGGUCAUUAGAGAGGGUAAGAGUUAAAGGCCAAAGGAGAUGGGUGGUAGUAUUCUUGGGGUGUAAUUGGAGGGUGGCUCCUAAUAAUUGGAGAACAUCUCUGCCUAGGAGAGGAACUGACAGGAUGGAAUGACCAGAAUAGUGAGUGAAUGGGUGUCCCUCCAGGGCACAGGCCAGCUUUACAAUUCUGUUUGGGGAGAAGGGUUUGUUAUCAAUCCCCAUAACUGAGACCUGGGAAGGAAACAGAGGCCUAGAAUGGGCAGGCAAGACAGAAUAGGUGGCCCCCGUGUCCACAAGGAAGGUUAUGGACUUACCCGCUGCCUGGAGCAUUACCCUGGGCUCAGAGAGGGCUGAGGGGGUCUUUGAAUCUGGGCUUCUUCAGUCUUCUGCAAACCCCAAAAGUUCAGGAGAGGGGGACUGCCUGACUGGUCAUACCCCCUGCGUAGAGGCGCCAAGGAAGGACCAGCCAGAGGCAGUCAAUCUUCCAAUGUCCUGUCUGCUUACAGGUGGGGCAUGGCCUGGAAGGAGGCCGUGGGUUUGGGCAUUGGCGAGCCCAGUGACCUUCGCAUCCAUAUUUGAGGCGAGCCUCUGGUGGAGAGGAGUGCUGGUUCCCCUCUGAAACUUGCUGGAGAUGUAGGCCUCAGGGCUGCUGUUAAGGCCUGAGUUUGGGGUGUUACCUUCUUUUCUGCAAUGAAGCCUGCUUUAAAAACCAUUUUCACCAGAUCUCAGAUAGGGGUCCGAUAGUCCUCCUCAGCUCAUUUGAGCUUUUUCUGAUAUCAUGAGCCGAUUGAGUAAUGAAAUGGGUUGCUAACACUGUAGCCCUGAUGGGAGACUCAAUAUCUAGCUUAAUGUAUUUGGUUAGGGCCUCUGUAAGGCGGUUGAGAAAUAAGGAUGGAUUUUCAUCAGGGUUCUCGGUAAUGUCCUUCAGUUUAUCAAAGUUAACUACCUUAUUAGAAACUGCUUGCAUGCAGUCCCAGUUAGAUUCAGUUAUGGGACAUGCACUCGGACUAUCCCUUCAGCACCAGCUACUUCCCUGACAGAACAAAGGAACUGUGAGUUAUCUGAUAAAAGGGAUCAGUGGACCCACGUGGGCCUUCCAGGACACCAACCGGAAAUCCCUCCUCCGGAACUUCCCCAACCAACUUGAACUCUCCAGGAAUCCCCUUGAGAACUCCAAAGUAGUGGACAGCAGGGAUCUAAUAUACAAUUGAAUACACAGCUUAACAUUACCAUCAUCAUCUCAAUGGCUUGCUGGCAUCACCUCUCAAUCAUUCCCUUCUGGCCAAAUGACUCAGGCUGUGGCUCUCAGCAAUAAUUGUUUAGUAAGGAGUAAUGUAAGAAAAGAUUCUUUUCUCAAAAAUUUUUUAAAAUAUUUAUUUAUUUAUUUUUUAGUUUUAGGUGGACACAAUAUCUUUAUUUUACAUUUAUGUGGUGCUGAGCAUUGAUCCCAGUGCCUCAUGCAUGCUAGAUGAGCACUCUACCACUGAGCCACAAUCCCAGCCCCUCUCAAAAUUUAAUACAUGUUUUUUCCUAGUGCCAGAUAGAAAUGUUCAUAGGGGAGGAGAAUCUUCCUUUUUUUGUUGUUGUUGUUGGUACUGGGGAUUGAGCUCCGGGGCACUUGACCCCUGAAUCACAUCCAAAGCCCAUUUUUGUAUUUAGAGACAGAGUCUCACUGAGUUGCUUAGCACCUCAUUUUUGUUGAGCUUGGCUUUGAACUCGAGAUCCUCCUGUCUGUCUCCUGAGCUGCUGGGAUUACAGGCAUGUGCCACUGUGCCCAGCUUCCUUUGCUUUUUUAAUCAAGAUAUAAUUCACUCCUAUAUAUAAGUGUAUAUAUAUAUAUAUAUAAAAGUAUAUAUAUAAAGUACAUAUAUAAGUAUGUAUAUAAAGUAUAUAAAAUUCACUCCUAUAAAGUGUAUAGUUUAGUUUUUAGAUCUUAGAGGGUUGUAUACUAUCAUUGUUAUCUAAUUCUAGAACAUUUUUAUCACCCCUGAAAGAAAUCUUAUGCUCAUUAGAAGUCACUUUUGAUACAUAUGUAUUUUAACAGUAUCUAAAGAGUUGGAGCUUUCUUUUAGUAUCUUUUGGUGUAUUUUAUGAUCCUUGAAUAGGCCUCUGACUCUAAGAAAAGGACCCUUUGCUGAAUAGGGAACUGGAUGGAUAAGAUUUAAAUGAAACUUGUUUGGAAAGGGAGAGACACUAUAAACAGAAUCAGUGAUGUUAAAUUGGUAAUGGAAUGAUGAGGAAUAGCUUCUGUAGAGCAGGGUUUUAUAAUCCGUUGGUCACAAUUUUGCAGGUGGCUCUGAAAUUAGUAUCAGUAACUUGCUGUUCUAUCAUGACUUUUUUUCCUCCAGCUUAUAGGCAUUUGUGGGUGGAAUAAAGGGGUGAUAAUCCAAAGAAGUUGAGGUAUAUUUUAAUUUUUUUUCUCACUCACAUGUGGGAUUUUAUUAAUGUUAUGUAUUUCUACAUACACAUAAUAUGACAGAUAUCACUCCCCAUCACUUUCCCUUCCCUCCCUGAGGUACAUUUUUAUGCAAUCCCACACUGCUUUUAAUAUUUGGCUCAGUAAGGGGAUGAAUACAUGAUUGUUGCAUUGGGCAAUAGUAGAUUUCCUGGGAAGAAGCAUGUGUUGGAGGGACCAGAUGUGAAUGGGCUGGUUGAUCCUUUGUGAUUUCCUAGUGGAGACUAUGUACUAUUUUGUUCUAGAGUUUAUAAUCAGGACAUAUAGACAUGCAAAGUAAAUUAAUAACAUGAGCGAUAGAGGAAUGAGUGAGUAAGCAAGGGAUUGGAAAUCUCUCUGAAGAUUCAAACUUGUGCUGGGUCUUGAAAGGUGAAAGAAGGAAGGGGGAAAGUCAUCCAUGUAAGAAAAAUAAUGAACAUGCAAGUCAUGCCUGGGGAAUAAGAAGUCCCUGAGUGGAGCCCCACUGAUAGAAGUCAGGAGAGAAUCUGGGGCUUACAGUUGUUAUCAUAGUAGUGGAAUACCUGCUUAGUAUUUGCAAGACCCUGGGUUUGAUUCUCCCCUCCCCCCCCUUCCCCUCCAAAAAAGUCUGGAGCUAGAUUUAAUUUUAUUUUUGGAGUUAGAUUUUAGGAGGUGGCUUUGAAUACUAGGUGAAGAAGGAAUGACUAUUAGAGGAACUAUGUAGAAUCAGAGCAUUCUAUGGUUGGGACAGGUCUCACAUCUUCCCAUAUGCUCAGAUAUAUCAACAGGACUCACUACCUCAGGAAGUACCUCUUUCCAGUAUUGGUUUGUGUUUAUUUUUAAAGCUUUUUUUUUUCUUCUUAAAUUAAACUGAAAUAUGUCUCUUUAAUCUUUUUCCUGUUUAAGAAGUUCUGCCAUCUGGGUAACACAGAAUAUGAUGAAAAUGGUGUUUUGGUGGGAGACUAGUCUUUAAGCUUUGUGUAGGAAGGGUUAAAGAGAUUGAUAGGCAGUCUGGAGGCAGGACCUUAAGAGUCUGGAGAUCAUCAUAGUAGUCAGGGAAAAUGAAGCUGUAAGCCAGGAACUGCUAUACUAGGAUAUAAAGGAUAUCAAAAUUAAAUUUUUUUAUGAGUCCUUGAAUAGGCCUCUGACCCGAAGUGGCCAGUUAUCUGUCAUGCAGGUUCACUUCCAGCUUGGCUUGUGCAAAUAACCAGUCAUUUUAAUAGAUAAAACUAAGGGACUUGGUAUGUAAAAAAAAUGUAAUAAUUCAUUUUGCUGUGACUUGAGUCAUUUAAAAGUAUGUUGAGAUAGUGUGUGAUAAGAACUCAUAUGAAUUAUCUGAAGUUAGAACAUACUCUCCUCAGCUUAGCCUUAGGAUUCUGCUGUUUCAGUUUUUAGUCAAGUUAAAAUUACUUGACAGUAUUUGCUCCAGUAUUUAGUUACAUUUAUUAAAAAGUCAAUAGUUUUUAAAAAUUUUUAUUUUGAAAAUUGUAGAAUUCAUAGGAAGUUGCAAAGAUGCUACACAGAUCCAGUGUAUUCUCAACCCAGUUUUCCCCAGUGGUUACUUCUUUUUUUUUUUUUUUUUUUUUUUUUUUUGUGGUGCUGGGGAUUGAACCCAUGGCCUUGAGCAUACAAGACAAGCUGUCUACCAACUGAGCUAUAUCCCCAGCCCCGCAGUGGUUACUUCUUAUGGAACUACUAUACAGUAUCAAAACCAGGAAGCUGACUUUGGUAUAAUGUGCAAAUAUAGCUUUCUGUUCUUUUAUUAAAUAUGUAGAUUUGUAUAACAACUACAGUAAUUAAGAUACAGAACUAUUCUAUCUAUACUAAGAUCUCCUUCAUACUACCUCUUUAUAGUUCUAUAUAUACUCCUUCCCCUCUCCAAAUUUCCCUGGUAAAAAUUCUGUUCUCCUCCUGGCAUUUUAAGAAUUGACUGGGCAUGGUGGUGCAUGCCUGUAAUCCUAGCAACAUGAGAGGCUAGGCAGAAAAGUUGCAAGUUAGAGAUCAGCCUCAGAAACUUAGUGAGGGCCUAAGGACAUAGGAAGACCCUGUUUCAAAAUAAAAAAAGGGCUGGGGAUGUGGCUCAGUUUUUAAGUGACCUUGGGUCUCCCAACAAAAGUUAUAUUAACGGAAUCAUACAGUAUAAUCUUUCAGUUUUGCCCCCCUCCAUCCCCCAGCUUGGUGUCCUUGAGAGCCAUCCAACUUGGUGUAUAUAUCAACAGUUUAACUUUUUAUUGCUUGAUAGUAUUCCAUAGGAACUCCAUGCAUGGGUAUCACUUGUCUAUGGCAAAGUAAAGAUUUUCCUUAUUUUUCAUCCUCUUGACAGAACUUUUUUCCCCUGGUGGUUGAGAUUGAACCCAGGGCCUUGAGCAUGCAAGGCAAGCACUCUACCAACUGAGCUAUAUCUCCAGCCUUCAUAGUAUUUUUGUAAAGUAAAAAAUUUUAAUUUUGAUGAAGUCCAGUUUGUUGAUUUCCCCCCCCCGCCCCACCCUCCAAUUUAUGGAUCAUGUCUUCAUGUCCUUGGUGCCAUUUUUAAUAUUUUUCAUCAAGCUCUAGCUUAUGAAGGUUUUUCUUCCCUUUUAAAAGUUUUAUAGUUUUUCAUUUUACAUUUAAGUUUAUGAUUCAUAAGUUUUAUGUAAGGUGUGGGGUUUAGGUCAUUCUUUUUUACCUGUGGAUAUCUAGUUGUUCGAGUAUUAUUUGUUGAAGAGACUAUUUUUUUUUCUCCAUUGAAUUGCUUUUUUAUCUUUGUUAAAAAUAAAUUGAUCAUACUAGUGUAGAGUUGUAUCUUGUUUUUCUAUUUUGUUUCAUUGUUCUAUGUAUAUCUUUUUUCCCUCUGCCAAUACCACACAGUCUUGAUUGCUGUCACUAUAUAAAAGUUUUAGAAUUGGGUAGAAUGAUUCUUUCUAGUUAAUUCUUUUUCUGCAUUAUUUUAGCAAUUCUAGUUUGUUUGCUUUUCCAUAUAAAUAUUAGAAUAAUUUUAUCUAUAUCCACAAGAAGUAUGGAAUUUUGAUAGGAAUUACAUUAAAUUUGUAUAUCAAUUUGGGGAGAAUUGACCUUUUUUUCUAUGAAGUCUGUCACAUUUUACACACACACACACACACACACUCAGGCUAGCAUUCCCAAAGUUUCCAUAGGGUCCUAGUUUUUAGGCAUUAAAAGUAUAUUCCUAAAUUACUCUCUAGUAAGGUUUUAUCUUUAGUUUGCUAAUGUUCAUAUAACCUCACCAAUUAACCAAUUACAAGUUAUAGAAAUUCCUGUCAAACUUGUUUGAGACAAGAGGGUGUUUAUGGACUUAUAAUUGGGAAUUCAAGGAGUAACUUUGAGUCAAAGGAUGUGGGACUUUCUUAACCACAAGUCUCAGUUUUGGCUUGUCUCCUUCCUUCCUCCUUCUCUCCCUCCCAGGGGCACUGUACCACUGAACUACAUCUUAUUUUUUAAAUUUGAGACAGGGUUUUACUAAGUUGCCAGGCUCACCUUGAACUUGUGCUCCUCCUGUCUAAGCCUGCUUAGUCACUUGGGAUCAUAGGAAUGUACCACCACACCUGGCUACCUUUUUGCUUAUAUGCUGUAUGCAUAUUGGACAGUAUGUCUACCACUGAUUAGAGAUGAUCAUGCUUGUUAUAUCAUCUCUGCAGAAAAAGAACUUUUCUUCCUCAGUGUCUUUAAGUGCCUCUGUUUGGGUCAUGCUCAGCCCUAAAUAGGUUUCUGAUGCCAGAGGAGACUGAUUAGCCAGUUUAUGUCACAUGUUUACCCUAGGCGCAAGGAAUCGGGAAGACUUCUCCAAAGGAAGAAGAGGUAUAAUAAAGUGAUGUUGUGUAGAAUUUUUUUUCUUGAUGAUGCUGGAAUAGUCCCAUUAAUAAAUUUUUUCUCCCUCUUUUUGUGUCUUUAAAGAAACUUUGUAUCAUUGGGGGCAAGUGUGUGGUUCAGUGGUAGAGUGUUUGUCUAACACGUAUUGGAUCCUGGGUUUGAUACUCCAGCACUCUUAAGGAGAGAGAAAAAAAAAAAGCAUGAUGGUGCUAAUGGAUUUUGAACAUUUUUUUGUUUGGUAAUAUAUCUGAAACAUAAUGUGUGUGAGAAUGCCUAAGGUAGUGAUAGGUAUCUAUAAACACGACUUUUCCUUUGUUGAUUUGUUGAAGCCCUGUUAUUUUUGUUGUUGAUUGGAAUUCUGUCAGGUUUUAAAAAAAAAUUGAAACAUGUCUCCUUGGGCGGGAGAUGCUGAUCUUUUAGAUUUCCCCCUUUCACUCUUUUGGCAUAGCAAAAGUGGAAUUAUCUUGGAGUAAAAAAAAUCAAGACAUAUUGCUUAUGUCUAUGAUUUUUUUAUUUUUGAAAUUUUGUGGUUCUGGGGAUUGAACACACUCUACCACUGAGCUACAUCCUCAGCCCCUUUUAUUUUAAUACAGGUUCUCACUAAGUUGCUCAGGCUGGCCUUUAACUCGUGAUCCUCCUAUCUCAACCUCCCGAGGCACUGGGAUUAUAGACUUGUGUCACUGUGCCGUGUACUUUUAAAAGUAAAAAUCUUAAAAACUACAGAAAUACCCAUCAUUUAAAACUCAUGGUCUCUUAGGACGCUGAUAUAAAGAAAGGUUGGGGAAUUAGUUUUUUUUUUUUUUUUUUUGGUCUUGGUACUGGCAAUUGAACCCAGGAGCGCUUAACCACUGAGCCAUAUCCCCAGCCCUUUUUAAUAUUUUAUUUAGAGACAGCUAAAUUGCUGAGACCGGCUUUGAACUCACUAUCCUCCUCUUCUAGCCUCCCAAGCCACUGGGAUUACAGGUGUGUGCCUUUGUGCCUGGCUGGAAUGAAGGUUUUUAUUGAUACUGAUACUUUUCUUAUUUUUAUUUUUUUGCAGUACUGGGGAUUGAACCCAGGACCUUGCAUCCCCAGCCCUUUUAAAUUUUUUUUUUUUUUUAAAUUUUUUAAAUCUUGAAACACUGUAUCACUAAAUUGCCUGGGUUGGCCUCCAAACUUGCAAUCCUGCUGCAGUCUUAUGAUUUGCUGGGAUUACAGGUUUGUACCACUGCUCCCAGUGACAUAUUUUUACUUCUCUUAGCAAUGGUGUGGUGUGGUUGAGAACAUAACUGCAAUCUUCUUUGAUAUAGCUUGAGUGACUUGUAUAUGGGGGAGGGGAGAGAGUAUGUGUGUUUGUGUGUGUGUUUACAUUGUGAAUUUUGUAAAGGCAUUUUUUUAUUUUUAAAAUUUAUUUAUUUAUAAGAGUUUUAUAGUUAUACAUAAUGGUUUGGUUCAACCCAACAAACUCAUACAUGCAUGGAAAUCGAUUUCAGUUCAUGAUCCCCCUUGUAAAGGCAUUUUUAAGGAAAAAUUAUGUAUAUAUUCCCUGACAAAAAGGAUAUUCACUAUAGGCUGCCCAGCUCUUGAUGUAUAAUUUUUUCCCCUGGCAACUGACUGAAGUCAGAUUGAAGAAAGUGAAAAUUGGUCUCCUGUCCAGUGCAAAUGUUGAAAACUUCAGACUGAUGUACCCACAUCUAAUAUUGGCAGCCUGGAAGAUAGAUGUUAAAAGGCAGAUAUGAUUUGGACAAAGCAACUGUCAGUGACUGCCUUGAGUGGGAUUUGAGAGGUAGACAGGAGGCACAGUAGAGUCUCAGUUUGCUGAGUUCAUAAUGUAAAGAUUUAAAGCAUAGCUAUGAGGAGCUUUGUGUGGGUGUGUGAGAGAUUGCAUUUUAAUUCAUGUAGUCCAGUUAGUGUGGUUUUAGGUUUAAACCAUGAGCUUGAUCUUACAUAUGGCUCUUUAAUUUUUCACAGAAGAAAAAUGACAAAUAUUUCUCCUUUGGAAUGCUGAGUAUGGUUUUCAAAACGUGUUAAUGAUGCUCUGGAAGAGCAAUAGCGGAGGAACAUUUAACAUUUUGAAGAUUAAAGUUAAUUAGGUUUUUAGAUUAGUAUAAUAACUUUCUUCAUUAAAUCUAAUAAGAAAUUAGCUGAUUUUUCUCAUAUUCUUGCCUUGAGUUUUGGCUUCUCAUUUGUUAUCCUCCCUUUUCUUUCCCCUUGCCUUCUGGGUAGGAUUUUCAUCCAGUUUUCUCCUCUUACUUUUCACAAAGUCUCUUUUCAUGUGAUCCCUUAUGGCUGGCUGGGUCUAUUGUUAGAAGUGCUUCCACUCCAUUUUUUUUUUUUGGUACCAGGGAUUGAACCCAGGGGCGCUUAACCACUGAGCCACAUCUCCAGCCCUCCACUCCAGUUUUUACCUUUUGUGUGUUUCUCAGGACUGUGAUUAAUUUAAAAAAAUUGGUUCAUUAUUGAUCCCCCUUACCUCUAGUCUCACCAUUUAAUCCAUUUUCUCUUGUUCCUUAUUUAACUUGAGCAAGAAAAGCAAAAUAUAAAUUCUGGAAAAAUCAUUAACUGGUUGUCAUCUGGGAGUUUUAUAUCUUAAAAUUGUCUGUCUAACUUAAAACUCAAGUUUCCAGGGUGGAGGCUAUAUUUUUUUUUUUUUUGACUUGUGAUGUGUCAAGGAUGCUGUCUGCUUCUGGAUCACUACCCUUGUGUGAGCAUAUGCUGCUUUGCAGAGAUUCGAGGUCUGCUAUAGCCAACUUGGAAGUGAGGAAAGAAGAGUGAAGUUAUUAAAUUCUAAUGUUUCCUGUCAUUUUGAAAUUUCUCCUCUUUUGUUUUUUUAAAAAAUUAUCUUGUUAAAUUCACAAAGAAAACUCAGAUGAUACUUUUAAGUUACAGUAGGUAAUAUUACUGCCUUAAUAUAUUUAUACAAUGUAGCUGAGGAAGUUAUCUUAGGUAUAAAAAUUUUGGCUUUGGCAAGACUUGAGUCAUGGUGUUGCAGUAACUUGGUUUCUUCUAGUUAAUUUCUUAAGAAAGUGAUUCCAAGUUGAAAUGCAUGUUAUGCAUUUAUUUGAAUAUGUAAUCAGGAAGCAAGUGCCUCUCUUUGGAGUGUUUCUGAAUAGCAGCAGGGUGCACUUGAAUUAGUAAGGAAAAUGAGAACAUGAAUAUGUGUGAUACUCUAUUUUAACUUAAAAAGAAAAAAAGUUCAUUCUGUCUGUCCAUCCCAGGAUGGAAAGGCGGAUAUGUUGGGAGGUUUUCUAGGCUAUACUGAUGUAUAUUUAAAUAACUUGAUGCUACAUGUUUAUUUCUUGGAUUGACUUUCAAAGAUAAAUAGUUUUGUGGAUUAAAAAAGACAUUAUCAUCCCAGAAAGUUCUUUUAAAGUAUCUGUCAGAAAUUCUUUGAAUCAUUGUCUGUUUUUAUUUGAAUCAUUGUCUUUUUUUUUUUUUUUUUUUUGUAACUAAGGUAUAUUAUCUAAGGGCCUGAGGUUUUUGCCAAAUAUUCUCCAAUAAAUAAUGAAAGGGUAAAGAUGGAGACAAUUGUUGUAUUUAGGUUCGUCCUCAUAUCACUAUGGGUUAUGCCAGAUAUACACCAUCAUUUGUUUUCUUCCCAUAAGGGUUGUGUUAUGAAGUCUGUUAUUCUUUGUAACCAUAUUGCUAGUUUAUCUUCAUUGACAAGUAUGGAAAAUGUCUUCAGGCUGGUAAUGGUCUUGUAGGCUCAAGUGUUCCCUUGUCUUGGCCUCCUGAGUAGCUGAGAAAACAGGGACUAUAGACCUGUACCAUCAUAUCCAGCUGUAUUAACUUUUUUUGGUACUGGGGAUUGAACUCAAAGGUGCUUUACCACCGAGCCACAUCCUCAGUUACACCCCCAAACCCCUUUAAAAAAAAAUUUGUGACAGGGCCUCACUAAGUUGCUUAGAGCCUUGCUAGUUUCUGAGGCUGUCCUCAAACUUGUGAUCCUCCUGCCUCAGCUCCUGAGUUGCUGUGAUUACAGGUGUGCACCACUGCACCUGACUAUAUUAACUUGAUUAUCUUGAAAUUGGCAACUAAUCUUGUGAAUUCUAGGUUCUGUCAUUUUUAUUAUUUGGUAAAAUGAGAGUUGGUGGAAUGAUAACAAAGAGAUAAAAAUGGUUAUGUCACUUCUUGGUGAGACCCCUUGAUCAGAUGUGUUUAAGAGUAUUUGGCAUAAAGUAGGUUUAUCAGUGUAACUAAAGCACUAAAAAGUAAUUUUUAAAAAUUUAAUUGAUUUUUUUAAAAAAAUACACAACAGUGGAAUGCAUUACAAUUCUUAUAAAAAGUAAUUUUUUGAAAAUUUUAUUUUUGGUACCAGGGAUUGAACCCAGCGGUCCUUGACCACUGAACCAUAUCCCUAGCCCCCCUGCCCCUCUUUUUUAAAUUUUGAGGCAGAGUCUUGCUGAGUUACUUAGGGCCUCACAAGUAGCUGAGGCUGGCCUUGAACUUGCAAUCCUCGUGCCCCAGCCUCUCAAGUCACUAGAAUUACAGGUAUAUGCCACCAUGCCCCCACCUCACUUUUCAAAUACUUAAGAAAUAUGAUAUAUAGAGUAUGACAAAUAAAUAUAAUGAUAGUCUUUUACAUUAGAAAAUUGAAGGCUUCCGUUAUUAAUGAAUAUGAGCUAUUGGAGAAGGAAAAAUAUUUUUUCUUUUUAAAAUUUUUUAAAUUUUAAUUAGAUAUAUAUGACAGCACAAUGUGUUUUGAUUCAUUGUACACAGUUGCAGCACAACUUUUUAUUUCUCUGAUUAUACACGAUGUAGCAUAGCACUGUAUGUGCAGUCAUAUAUGUACCUAGGAUAGUAAUGUCCAUCAUACAUCCAUUAUUCCAUAUUUUCUGCCUCCAUAUUUCCUCCCCUUCCUUCCCUCCCCUUUACCCCAUCACAAAGUUCCUCUAUUUUUCCCAUGUCCUCCCCCAUUAUGGAUCAGCAUCCACUUAUCAGAGAGAACAUUCAGCCUUUGGUUUUUUGGGAUUGGCUUAAUUUCUUUAGCAUGAUAUUCUCUAACUCCAUCCUUUACCUGCAAAUGCCAUAAUUUUAUUCUCUUUUAAUGCUGAGUAAUAUUCCAUUGUGUGUGUGUGUGUGUGUGUACACACACACACACACACACACACAAUUAGUUUCUUUAUCCAUUCAUCUAUUGAAGGCAUCUAGUAUGAAUUGAGCUGCUAUAAACAUUGAUGUGGCUGCAUUGUAUAGUAUGCUGAUUUUAAAUCCUUUGGAUAUACACUAAGGAUUGAGAUAGCUGGGUCAAAUUGUGGUUCCAUCCCAGGUUUUCUAAGGAAUUUCCAAACUGCUUUCCAUAGUGGUUGCACCAAUUUGCAGUCCCACCAACAAUGUAUGAGUGUGCCUUUUCCCCUACAUCCUUGCCAACACUUACUUACUGUUGUCUGUAUUCUUGAUAACUGCCAUUCUGGCUGGAGUGAGAUGAAAUCUUUUUAAAAAUUUUUUUAUUUAAUAUUUAUUUUUUAGUGCAGUUGGACACAAUACCUUUAUUUUAUUUAUUUUUAUGUGGUGCUGAGGAUUGAACCCAGGGCCUCACACAUGCUAGGCGAGCGCUCUACCCCUGAGCUGCAACCCAGCCCCAGAGAUGAAAUCUUAGAGUAGUUUUGAUUUGCAUUUCUCUAAUUAGAGAUGUCAAACAUUUUUUCAUAUAUUUGUUGAUCAAUUGUAUAUCUUCUGAGAAGUGUCUGUUCAGCUUCUUAGCCCAUUGAGUUGUUUGUUUUUUUGGUGUAAAGUUUUUUGAGUUCUUUAUAUAUCCUGGAAUUAGUGCUGUAUCUGAUGCGUGUGGCAAAAAUUUGCUCCCAAAAUGUAGGCUCUCUCUUCAUCUCAUUGAUUGUUUCUUUUGCUGAGAAGCGACAUUGUAGUUUGAAUCCAUCCCAUUUAUUAAUUCUGAUUUUAUUUCUUGUGCUUUAAAAGUCUUUUUAAAGAAGUGGGGGCCUAAUCUGACGUGAUGAAGAUUUGGGCCUACUUUUUCCUCUAUUAGACACAGGGUCUCUGGUCUAAUUACUAGGUCCUUGAUCUAGUGCAUGGAGGGACAGAGGUUUAGUUUCAUUUUGCUGCAUAUGAAUUUCCAGUUCUUCCAGCACCAUUUGUUGAAGAGACUAUUUUCUCUCUAAUGUAUGUUUUUGGUUCCUUUGUUUAGAAUGAGAUAACUGUAUUUAUGUGGGUUUGUCUCUGUCUUCUGUUUUGUACCAUUGGUCUACAUGUCUAUUUUGGUGCCAAUAGAAAAAGAUUUGAGAGAAUUAAAAUCAUUUUCAGUUACAGAGAACAAAAUAACUCAAGCAAAGGUCAUCUCAAAUCAGUGGGAGGAAGGAAUCAGAAUUCCUCUUAUAGCCAUGAAUCUGAUCCUGAGAUGAAUAAUUUGAACACAUUUAAGAUGGUUGAUAGAUCGCAAAUUCUUCACCUGAAAGGUUUUGUUAUUUUAACACAGGACUGUUUUUGCUGGUUUUAAAAUAAACAUUCAGUUGGAUGUCUUAAAAUAUCUUUUCUCUGUUGGUAGUUGUUAAUAAACAAUAUUUUCUCAAAAAAUGUUCUUUUUGCUGGGUACACUGGCACACACCUAUAUUCCCAAAGGCUCAGGAGGCUGAGGCAGGAGGAUUGCAAAUUCAAAGCCAGCCUCAGCAACUUAUUGUGACCCCAUUUCAAAAGAAAAAAUUAAAAGCACUGGGGAUAUGGCUCAUUGGUUAAGAGCCCUUGGGUUCACCCCCCCCCCCCCCAAAAAAAAAAAAAAAGCUGGGGAUGUAGCUCAGUGGCAGAGUGCCCUUGGUUUCCAUCCUCAGUAUGGGUAAAUAAAUAAAUUAAUAAGUAAAUGGGGUAGAAGGGCUGAGGGAGAGGUAAAGGCCUUCCUCAAGUCUCUCUGCAGUAGCUGUAAACAGAAAAUAAAAGUGAUGAGAUUGGGGCUGCAAAUACCUACAAUAACUCAUAUUUUAGAUAAGUCUCUCAAGAUGACUGAUUUUUAUAAAGUUUUUGAAAAACAUUUGGUAAUGUAUGCUUUACAUUUUGGAAGUUAACUAGCAUCGUUUAUACCUUAGAAAACAGAUUUCAAAACCUGAAUAUUAUGCAUUGUACACAUGAAACAUACUUUUAACUUUGUUAUCAUUUAAAAACUUUUUUCUUUAGAAGUAUAUUCAUUAUAGGAAGUUAAGAAAAUAAUUACAUAUCAGGCCAUACGUACUACCUUGUGAUAAAUUGUCAAUAUUUUGAUGUAUGUUGGUUGUGGUCUGUUCCAUGACUUGCUUUUGUCAUAAACACAUUAUGAUCUCUGUUUUCACUGUAUAACAUUGAUUGUUUUAUAUUUGCUAUUUAAAGUGGAAAUGAACAAAACUUUUCACUAAUAAAGUCAUCUGGUCUGGGAAGUUCGUGUAAUUUAUAGAAGAUAAGCCAUAUUCCUCUACUAAGCUGAAAAAUUCAUGUUUCUUUCUGGAUGUUAGAGUUGGUAUGUGGCUAAUGACCAUGUUCUGAAUAGGUUUAAGAAUUGAAAAAAAGUAGAUGAGAAAGUGAAGGGGGCAUGGAAGUAUUUGUUUACAUAUAUUAUCUCAUUUUAAUUUUCAAACCAAUUCAGAUGGGGAGAUGGUAUUUCUAUUUUGAAAAAAAGACAAAUAGUCGAGAUGAAUCAACCCAAAGUCACACAGCCAUCAAAUAGUGAAGGUGGGAUUCAGAUCAAUUCUAAAACCUUGUUUUAUCUAUGCCAGGUAAUGUUCUGGAAGAAAGGUAAUACAUACUCAUUAACUUACCCUUGUAACAUUCUUUAUUUUAAAGGAGCAACAUGAUAGAAUAUGUCACAUCUUUUAGGCUCAAGUUAAAAACAAAAACUGUAGCCUUUUUUAAUGUUCUCUUUUUCUGUCUUUCGUUCCCCUCUCGUUCCCGCAUGUACGUGUCCCCACUCCCCCCAAUUCAAGCCUGUCUUUUCAAGGGGGAUUUAGUUAAGAUAUUUGAUGCUUCAGAAAGGCCUUGAACUUGUCCUGUUCCAAUAAAUAACUUUGGGGGAUUUUUUUUUGGUUUUCUUCCUUUGCAAUUAGUCUUUGUUAUUGUUUUGAACUCCAGAAGAGUUUAAAUUUUAUCCCCAGUUUAGGAGAAAACAGCAGGGGGUGAUAGAUCUGAUUUCAUGGCAGAUGGUAGUGGGUUCUCUUAAAUUUAAUCUCCUUUAUAUCUUAGGAGAUUAUAUCUUAGUUAAUAUGUAGUUGACUGGUGGCAAUUGGGACAAAGCCAGAAGACCUAACUAUGUCCUAAGCUUUUACUGCUUGCAUGAGAGCCUGGACAGAUCUCCUCUUUGUUUUAGUUUGCUAGUUUACCCUUUUGUGUGAAGAGAGCUUUUGAACUCCUAGAAAUGUGCUAAGGCUAAUCUUUUAAAAAUUUUUUGAUUUAUUUUUGCAUUUGAUUUUGUAAAAAUACUUUUAAAAGAAAUCUCAUCCAUGUUAUUGUCGUGUUCUUAUUUUUAUUAUUUUUUUAGUUGUAGAUGGACAUAUUAUCUUAAUUAUUAUUAUUAUUAUUAUUUAAUGUGGUGCUGGGGAUUGAACCCAGUGCCUUACACAUGCGAAGCAGGUGCUCUACCACUGAGCUACAGCCCCAGCCCCUUGUCAUGUUCUUUUUACAGGGAUUACCAUUGAGCAAAAGAAUGAAGAUCUUGUUCUUAGCUAUGGGCUUACUUACAUGUUUGUCCAUAGUUUUGUGAAUAGGGAAAAUUUGGAUAUUUUAAUUCAUAAUUUAGUGUGCUUUUUUAAAAAACAGAUUAUUUUUUUAGUUGUAGGUAGACACAAUACCUUUAUUUUAUUUUUGUGUGAUGCUGAGGAUCGAACCCAGUGCCUCACUAUGCUAGGCAAGCGCUCUACCUCUGAUCUACAACCCCAGCCCCCUAGCGUGCUUUUUUAAAAGUAUUUUAAAAGUAUUUUAACAUUUUUUAAAAAUGUAUUUUUCAUUAUUAAUAUGUUAGCUAAACAGUUUAAGAACUUGCCAAUGUGCCUUUGAGCUGAAAGAAUAGGUUGGAUGUAAAUGUUUUUUUCACUAGUACUAGCCAUUGAACCAGAGACCCUCUAUCCCAGCCCUUUUUAUUUUAUUUGAGAUAAAGAGUCUGGGGUUCUCCUGCAUUAGCCUCCCAAGUCUUUGGGAUUAUAGGCGUGCACCACUAUGCCUGGCUAAUGUGUUUAGUUUACCUGGCUUCUUCCUUCCAGUUUCAGUUGUUUGCUGUCAUUGAUCUGUUGUUAUUUUGGAACCAUAUCAUGGUAGCUGAAGAAUGAACUGGGUUAAGAGUUACAACUUAGAGGAAGGAGGAGGUUAUGAUGAAAAGAAAAGAGUUGGUGAAAAAUUUGAGAGUCAGCAUGUCAAGGUUAUGUGAUUGUUAAAAUUGCCAGGUUUCAUUUGUUCAUUUAAAUGUAACCUAGUCUUUGAAGAGUUUUGAUUCAUUUAGAUGGACUGUAGAUUUAACAGUCUUUUUAAAAUUCAUUCUGGGGGCUGGGGUUGUGGCUCAGUGGUAGAGCACUCGCCUAGCACACGUGAGGCUCUGAGUUCGAUCCUCAGCACCACAUAAAAAUAAAUAAAUAAAACAAAGGUAUGGUGUUGAACAUAACUAAAAAAUAAAUAUUAAAAAAUAAAUAAAAUUCAUUCUGUUUGGCCUAAUUUGAGCCCUUACCUGUGUCUUCUAAUUCUUUCAUUCACUUGAAGUUUACUCCCUUUUUUAUCUCCAUCCUGCUCAGAUUUUAACAGAGAACCAGAGGAACUUCUGAAAAAACUGGGAUUUUUCAACAUUAUCAAACUUCAUACUGUUUAGAAGCCUCUUGCUAUUUUGCAUUUACUUUUCAUUUGAGGGUCCUGGAACUGCCAUUUAUUCCACUUGGCCCUUACCUCCUCCUGUGGUCCUGAUUGUGUGUGCUUCUGUCUUUGGCCCAGAAUAUUCAUUCUUCAGUUGGGCACUAUGAGUCUCCUUUUGUCUCUCCCCACUCUUAAUAUUUGUUAUUAAUUCCAGUUGUGAUAAUAAAAAGUAUGGCAGUGGUAGGCACUGCUCUCUGCACUCUGCUGAGUACUUUGUGUGUCCUAGAGCAUUUGGUUUCAUCUCCGCAGCCCUGGAAAGUGGGCACAGGCAGUUCUGGCUUUGCAAGGUUCUGAUGUGCGCACAUUUUCAGUUACCAACAUUUAGUUAAAUACCACCAGUCCCCCAAUAGUUCAAAAUUUAGUUACCACAGUAUACUAAUUAACAGUGAAGAUUUGCAUAAAGUAAGUACUAACCUUGCUGUUAGCUCUGAAGUAUACAUAUUGCCACAUAAAUAACUGAUUCACAUUAUGGUCAGUGACCAAUUAUGUCACUCUUUCCAGUUUGUUGAUUGUUCAUUGUGCAUCUUUUUUUUUUUUUUUUUUUUUAAAGAGAGAGUGAAAGAGGGAGAGAGAGAGAGAGAGAACUUUUUUUUUAAUAUUUAUUUUUUAGUUUCCGGCGGACACAACAUUUUUGUUUGUAUGUGGUGCUGAGAAUGGAACCCAGGCCGCACGCAUGCCAGGCGAGCUCGCUACCGCUUGAGCCACAUCCCCAGCCCUUCAUUGUGCAUCUUAUCAGUUUAUGUAGAGUGUGUAGUUGUGUUGUCCUUCCCUUCCAGUAAUAAACCCACUAGAACCAUUUUACAAAAGUAGAGAAUUAAAAGAGGAAAUUAACGAACAAAAAAAUGGAUGCUCAGGCAAAGAAAUGAAAAAUGAUAAAUUGAAUAGAAGAAAAAUGGAGGAAAUAGCCAACCUCAGUAAUGUUUAUUCUGUUGCUGUUUAAAAUCCUAGGUAAGUGCCAAAGGAAUUUGCUGAAGGAACAUUCCUUCACUUAUGUGAGGAAAGUGAUUGUGAUGAAAAGGAAGAUGAUGUUCAAGAGAAAAUGAUGUCAUAAAAAAAUGUCAUGUUAAAGGAACUCUUGUAGAUAAUUUAUGAACUUGAAAAUGAAAAGAUUAAGAGCUGGAUAUGGUAGUGGGAUAUAUAUACAGAUGUAAUCCCAGUGACUGAGGAGGUUGAGGCAGGAGUAUUGCAAAUUUGAGGACUGUUUUGGCAAUUUAGCAAGAUCCUGUCUCAAAAUAAAAAUGGACUGGAUAUGUGGCAAGCAAGCAUUGUUAAUACUACUUUUGAGAGCUUUUUUUGUUGUUGUUGUCAUUGUUAACAGAAAGUUUUUAGCCUUAACCUUAACAACAACAAUAACAAAUUCUCAGUGUACUGUAAAGUUUAACAUAGUUUAUUGAAUAUGUAUAUGUUUGUAAUAAUAAAGGAGUUUUUAAUAUGUUGACAAAAAAUUUUAAUGGUUACAGCACAAUCAUAAUUUUUCCAUUGAUGAUUAAGAUCACUUUGCACUGUUUCAGCCUGUCUGAAUAUUUUUAUAGUCUUGUGCUACUAACAAAGAUUAUUAAUGUUAUUAUUUCUGUUUUACAACUGUGUAAACCACCACCUAUUUAGUGGUAAAAAAAAACUAUAGUUUCUGACCCUUAAAGGUGACCUUUGAACAGAAGAAUACUCAUAAAACAAAUUGAAGACCUUUUCUCUGAUUUUUGAUUUUGUUUUACCUAAUAAUACUAAUUUUAAAAAUAUAUACCAAAUAUAUACCCUAUGUUGUCUCUCAUGGUACAAAGUAGUGAAUUAGACAUUUUAAAAUUAUUAUUAUUAUUUUGAUGCUGGGAAUUGAACCCAGGACCUCACUAGUCAAGAGCUCUAUUAUCAAGCUACAUAGCUACAUCCCCAAUCUCUCAUAUUAUUUUAAUAGAUGCUCACAGUGGGGUAUUCUUGACAUUUUAGAGAGGAAACAGGCGUAUAGAGUCCAGUUGUGUAGCUGGUAAAUGAAAAAAACAAAAUCUAGGCCUUCAGCUCCAAGACCUGUACUCAUUCAUGUUAUUACAUUUGAUGUUCCCCCCCUUGUUAAUAUCAUAAUUCACAUACCAUAAAAUUUACCCCUUAUAAAGUAUGUAAGUGAUUAGUUCUUAGUACAUUCACAAGGUGUAUAGCUGUCACCCCUGUGUAAUCUGACAUUUUCAUCAACUCAGAGAAAAAUCCUGUUGUAUCUAUUAACAUUAAGUUCUGAUACUCCUACCCCAUUACCCUGCCCGCAACCACUAAUAUAUCUACUUUUUGUCUCUAGAUUUGCCUGUUGUAGAAAUUUCAUACAAAUGGAAUGGUACAAUUUGUGGCUUUUUGUGACAGACUUCUUUAACUUUAUGUGAUUUUUAUUUUCUUUCUAUUUUAAAGGCACUGAAGAGGUUUAUUUAGCAAAGUAGAUACACAUUCAAGGAAGAAUUGAGGCAAUCAAAAGAGAUUUACCCCACUGGGUAAUGUACCAGUACUUUGGUAAUGAAGCAGCACUUUGUUACUUUUUAUUGUUAUAUAUAGGGAUAUAUUACAAUUUGUUUAGCCAUUCAUUAAUUGAUGGGUGUUUGGCUUUUUAACUAUUAUGACUAAAGCUGCCAUGAGCCUUCAUGUAUACAUUUUGAGGUAUAAUAAUUAUACUUAGGUAUAAUAAUAUUAUAUAUAUUAUGUAUAAUAUAUAUAAUUAUUAUACUUAGGUAUAAUAUUAUACUUGAUGCUAGCCUGGGCAACACAGUAAGACUUCACCUCCAAAAAACAAAAACAAAAACAAGUUAGUGAUUUUUCUCAACUAAGCCUUCCAGGUAGCUGCAGUUGUAGGCAUUUGCCACUGUAACUACACACCUUCCCCCACCCCUUCUCCUUUUUAAUUUCUCUCAAUUUAUAUGCUGUCAUUCAGCUCUUGCUUGUCCCCUUCUCACUUUUAAGACAACCCUAGCUUGGAAUCUUUAAUUUUUGUUGGUUUCUUCUUAAUACUUUAUAAUCAAAAGUUAAUAGAUCUUUUGACCCCUGCCUUUAAAAUUUUCUAUUACUCUUUCCUAGGUCACCACUGCAGCUUUCUGAUGCCUCUUUCUGGUCAGGUUUAUUGUAUGUAAGAUUAGGUUAAUUUUCUCCUUCCAUGAGUUUGACUUCCUCUAGCUCAAGGAUUCUUUAUUGAAUUCUGUUUGUCCAUGGCCUUUCUAUCCAUUACUUCUUUCUCUCCUGUAUACAGCCCUCACUUUUCAGUUAGAUUAAAGAAUUCAGGUUCCAAUUGUAUCUUAUUGUGUUCCUCAGCUUGGAUCUAAGAAUGUUAGUAUUGACAUUGCAAAUCCUGGUCUAUGAUUCACUAGUUUGGUGACAGGGAUUAAGUUAUUUGACCUGUGUAAGCAUUAGUUGCCUUUGUGUGUGUGUGUGUGUGUGUGUGUGUGUGUGUGUGUGUGUGUUGCUGGGGAUUGAACCCUGGACCUUUUGCAUGCAAGGCAAGCACUCUACCAACUGAGCUAUAUCCCCAGCCCUAGUUGCCUCAUUCUUAAAAAGGGCUAAUGCCACCUACUUUCUGUAUGAUUGAUAAAAUUAAUUUAAUGUUGCACAUUAUUAUGUUCAUUCUACUUGAAGUGGUAACUCUUAAUUCUCCUGCCAAAAUCCUUCCUAUCUUUUGCAAGUUGGGUCCAGUUCAGAAUACCUUCCAUGUACCUGUUAACAUUUUACUUCUUCACCAAACUGGUUGUUAGUGCUUCCUUCUUUGAUAUCUCAUAGAACCCUAUGAAAGCAUGGGCUGUUUGUUGUGGACAUACUGCUAGUCCCUAAUAUAGUCCUUGAUGUGUGGUGGGUGUUCAUAUUUGUUGAAUAAAUAAAUCUUUUUUUGUGGGGGGGGGGCACCAGGGAUUGAAUUCAGGGGCAUUCAACCACUGAACCACAUCCCUAGCCUUAUUUUGUAUUUUAUUUAAAGACAGGGUCUCACUGAGCGGCUUAAGGCCUUUUACUGAGGCUGGCUUUGAACUCGUGAUCCUCCUGCCUCAUCCUCCCAAGCUGCUCGGAUUACAGGUGUCCGACACUGCAUCCAGCUAUAAAUCAUUUUUUAAAAUACCGUGAGACAUUAUUGUUAAUGUUAUGAAUUUACAUGAUUGCCAUAUGUCAGUAUCUUUUUAAAGAUAUAAGGGAGGCAUAUAUCAGAUAUAGGAAAACCUUUCAUCUGCAGAGUUCUUCAUCAUGAGUUAUUUCUGAUCUGAUAAAUAUGCAGAGCUUAUCUUUACUCUUAGUAUUCUAUAGAGCUUUUAAGUCUAAUUGAUGUAUGAAUCGGAGGUAACUUUUUUCCCCUUCUAAGCUCAUAUUGUACAACUAAAGUUGAUAGAAAUUCUUUUGUGUUGAGAAAUAGUUUACUUUUUUGAAAAUGGCCCUUAAAAUAAAACAAACAAACAAAAUACAUGGAAAUGAGAAAGAGAAUGGCUUUUAGGCUUUAAUCUACAGUGGAUAUACUCAGCAGAGAAAGAGAGUAAGUGCUUUUCCAAGACCCCAAAGAUAACACCAUACAACUACCAUCAGAAUACCAGUGGACAAGACAUAGCCCUGGCCCUCUAUGUGCUUCCAGCUAUAAGAAGGGAGGUAUAGCCAGGCACAGUGGCGUAUACUGUAAUCCCAAUAGCUUGGGAGGCUGAGGUAGGAGGAUCACGAGUUCAAAGCCAGCCUCAGCAGAAGUGAGGCGCUGAGCAACUCAGUGAGUCCCUGUCUCUAAAUAAAAUACAAAAAAGAUCAGAUGUAGCUCAGUGGUUAAGUGCCCCUGGGUUCACUUCCUGGUACAAAAAAAAAAAGGAGGAGGAGGAGGGAGGCAUAAUAAUCACCUGAAAUGCUUAUCAAUAGAAAUUAAUAAAACAAAGUAUAAUUUGUGUAAGUUUCCAGGAAAUAAUGUAAAUAAAUUCUUUUUUGUUUUAAAAAAUUGCUCUAAAGAGUUAUACAUGACAGUAGAAUGCAUUUUGAUACAUUAUUCAUAAAUGGAGUCUAACUUCUCAUUCUUCUGGUUGUACAUGAUGUAGUACAAUUACAAUUGUGUAAUCAUAUAUGUACAUAGGGUCAUAAUAUCUGAUUCAUUCUAUUGUUUCUGUCCCCCUUGUAAAUAAAUUCUUGAACUCAGGAUUGUAUAUGUUGUAUAUACUUUUAAAAAAAAAUAUUUUUUAGUUGUAGUUGGACACAAUACCUUUAUUUUAUUUAUUUAUUAAUGGUGCUGAGGAGGUAGGUAGGCGAGCGUUCUACCGCUGAGCCACAACCCCAGCCCUGUAUAUUCUUUUUUUAAAAAAAAUUUAAAAUUUAUUCUAAUUACUUAUACACGACAGUAGAAAACGUUUAUGCACUUUGAUAUAUCAUACAUAAAUCGAUAUAAUUUCUCAUUUUUCUGAUUAUACAUGUAGAAUCACAUUGGUUGUGCAGUCAUAUAUGUACAUAAAGUAAUAAUGUCUGUUUUUUUUUUUUUUUAAUAAUAUCUGUUUUUUUCUAUUAUCGUUCCUACCCACAUAUCCUUCCUACCUACUUACCCCCUCCUUCCCUUAACUCCUCUCUUUCUAAUCUAAAGUAAUGAUAUUCUUCCCCUGAUUUUUUAGGUGUAGAUGGACACAACACAAUGCCUUUAUUUUUUUAUGUGGUGCUGAGGAUUGAACCCGGGUCCUGCCCGUACUAGGCGAGCGCUCUACCGCUGACCCACAAUCCCAGCCCUUAACAUGAUAUUCUACAGCUCCAUCCCUUUACUGGCAAAUGCUAUAAUUUCAUUCUUCCUUAAGGCUGAGUAAUAUUCCAUUUUACGCCCCCCCCCCUUUUAAAAAAUCCAUUCAUCUCUUGAAGGUCACCUAGGUUGUUUCUAUAGUUUAGCUAUUGUGAGUUCAGCUUAUGCUGGAUAUUCUUUUUUUUUUUUUUUUUUUGUGGUGCUGGGGAUUGAACCCAGGGCCUUGCGCAUGGGAGGCAAAGCACUUUACCAACUGAGCUAUAUAUCCCCAGCCCUGGAUAUUCUUAACAACUAUGAUAAAGUCUAUUUUAUGUUUCAAGCUUAAUUUUUAAAAUUAUAGAUGCAAUAACCAGUUUAUUAUAGAACCUGGUUUCAUAAGUACAAAAUAAUAUUAAGAGGCAGAAUGUAACCUAGUAAUAACUCUUAGUUGCCUUUUCACUGCAGUUUUUUCUUUAAAAAAAAAAACACACCACAGAUUACAUACAUUUGGAAUUUCAUAUUUUUCUGCUUAAGAUUAUAUCAUAAACCUUUACAUUUUUCAUAUGCUAAUAUUUUUAUAAUAGUUGUAGCCUCACCAUAAUUUACUUAACUAGUUUCUUAUUGUUGAGCAUUUGACCUAUUGUCAGUGUUUUGCUAUAAGAGAAAUGAAAGAAUCAGUGACUGAACUCUGAAUUUUCAGAUAUCAAAGAAUAUUUGUUAGGAAAGUAGAAAUUGGAUAGUUGGGAUGGUUAGGGAAGUGUGGUGGUAUACCUAGUGGUGGUUGUAUUUCUGAAUUAUUCUGUGGAUGUGGGUGUAGAUUGCAUUUGAUUAGUGUUUUUUCCUCUCCCCUUCAAAUCUUAGUUUUUUUUUUCCACUUCUUUAGUAAUAGCUUUUUGAAAAAGCAUAUUAUCAUUAGAUCAAAGGGAAGAAAUAUUUUUAAGUCUUUUGAUAAUAGUGCAAGUCACUUUUUGGAUAUUUUGCUUUCAUUGGUACCACAUGAGGGUGCUUGUUUCAAUGGUAGUUGUUACUUAAGAAAGAAGAGCAAGCAACAGAAAUGACCCCUAUACUAAAAUCUUGUGUGAAAUAUAGAGUUUGGACUAUUUUUUAAAAUAUUGAUCAGCCCUUCAUUUUAAUCCCUGCUGAGUUUUUUUUUUUUUUUUUGCCCCCAUUCUGUAAAACAGGAGAUUUGAUGAAGAGUGCUGCAGGAGAGUUUGCAGAUGAUCCCUGCUCUUCUGUGAAGCGAGGCAAUAUGGUUCGGGCAGCUCGAGCUUUGCUCUCUGCUGUUACCCGGCUGCUGAUUUUGGCUGAUAUGGCAGAUGUCUACAAACUACUUGUUCAGCUGAAAGUUGUAAGUAUGGGCCUAUGUUUGUAAUUUGUUCUUUGUGUAUCAUAGUGAAGCUGAUGGUGGCCAUUCUUAGUUCAUCAGUUCUUAGGUUUUAGUUUGGUUUUGAAGUUUAUCUAAAUGGACCAUGCAUGUUUUUGUUUAGUUUAUGCUUACUACUUUUUCAAGUAUAUAUGAUCUGGGCCCUCCUAUGAGCCAGUGUUGUCUUGAUUCUAAGGAAGAACUUGUAGCAAAGGUAUUGUUUAGACUUCUUUGCAGUACUGAUUAAACAUUUCCUUGCAUUGGUAGAAUUGAAAAACUAAGAUACAUUAAAUUGUACACUUUUAGAUAGAGACCAAUAUUACUAUAUGUCCUUUCUACCUUUUGUAAAGCAUCCAUGUAAUAGGAGGUCCCUAGCAGCUCAAGAGAUUUAACUUUGAAUUGCUUUUGAGUAGUUGUUAAAAGGAAUUAAAAAAUAUUCUCAGAUACCAUACCAUACAUAUCAUUAUCAAUAGACUUGUAAGUCAGAACUUUUGUUUUUUGGGGUUGUGUUUUAUAGGUAGAAGAUGGUAUCUUGAAACUGAGGAAUGCUGGCAAUGAACAAGACUUAGGAAUACAGUAUAAAGCCCUGAAACCUGAAGUUGAUAAGCUGAACAUUAUGGCAGCUAAAAGACAACAGGUACAGUCAUUAUUUGGGGAUAUUUUAAAAUUGUUUAUAUUUAGUGAGGAAAAAACCAUUUUGCCUACGUUUUCUGAUGGUACCAUUAUCUUGCUCUGCUAAUACAGUUUAAUUAAAAUAUUUAAUCUAAGGUAUCAGUUCAGUAUUGUGCUCUUAACAGAAGUAUAAUUAUAAUAAAGUUGUAUUCAUGUUAUUCUCUCAUUUUAAUUUUGUGAAAAUUUUAAGUAGUUUAUCAUUUUUAAUGAAGAUAUAUAUGGGGAGGUGAUUGGCCUUUGUUAUAUGUGUUCAAGUAUUAAUGUGAGUUUUAGUAGAAUUAGUAGAAUUUAGAUCUUUAGGAAACCUAAACAAGUUAAAACAUAUUAAAGUUAUCUCUACAUCUGAGACCCUCCCUGCUGCAUUAUCACUUUUAAAGUGGCUCUUAUAAUCAUUACUAGUAGUUUUUGUUGUGUGAGGCAUGUGGAUCAUUAUUCUCAUUUUUUUCAAGUUCCACAACCUGUUUGGUAUUUUUGCUGUUGGGGUCUUUGAAAUCCUUCCUCUGUCUUUUCUGUUGGAUACUUUGUAUUUUAGGUUUGUGUUCUGCAAGGAGGAUACAUGCAUUGCCAUCCAGCUCUUUUAUAACUCCCUAAGUACUGAUGAAACUUACUCUACUUCCCCGCCUCAAGGAUGGUGCUAAGGAUUGAACCCAGUGCCUUCUGUAUUCUAGACAAGUGUUCUACCACCAAGCCACACCCCCUACCCAGCAACUACUUUUCUUAUAUUAAAACAAUCUCUGAGAGGCUGGAGUUGUGGCUCAGAGGUAGAGUGCUUGCCUACCAUGUGUGGGGUGCUGGGUUUGCUUCUCAGCACCACGUAUAUAAAUAAGUAAAUAAAAUAAAGGUCUAUCAACAACUAAAACAUAUUUAAAAGAAAACAAUCUCUGAAAGGAUGAAUUGUUAUUAUUACCUAAUACUCUUAUCAGUUAGGAUAUCUUGUACUGUCUGUACAGGAAACCCAACUCUUAACUCCUUGAAUAGAGGAAGUGGGUAUUUUUUCACUGACAAUAGCCAACAGUAAAAUGAAUAAUUGAUAAAGAAAAUGUAGUAUAUACAUGGAUUAAUACUCUCCAUCAUAAAAAAGAACAAAACAGUGUCAUGUGCAUAGCAUAGUGUUAACAGGAGAUCAUUAUGCUAAGUGAAAUACACUAGGCACAGAAAGAUGAGUGCUGUAUGAUUUUACUCAUAAACAGAAUAAAGAAGAAAUAAUAUGAGGGAAACCCUAUUGACUUUAACUUGUUUUUUUUUUUUCCUCACUUAAAAAUCAACUUUCUUCUAAACCUAUUGCUUAGAAACCAAACUUAUCGCUUCCACUAAACAAUGUUCAUAAUGAAAGCAGUACUAAAGUUACCAUUUGUCCAUUUCCUAUGCACAAAUAUACACAAAGUACAUAUUUUAUUAAAAGUUGAAAAAUUGUAAUCGUUUUAUUUUUUUUUAAAUACACAGCAGCAGAAUGUAUUACAAUUCUUAUUACACAUAUAGAGCACAAUUUUUCAUAUCUUUGUAUAAAGUAGGUUCAUGCUGAUUCGUGUCUAUGUAUAUAUUUGGGUUUUUUUGUAUUACAAUUCUUAUUACACAUAUAUACAACAAUUUUUCAUAUCUCUGUAUAUAAAGUAGGUUGACACCUAAUUCUUGUCUUCAUAAAUGUACUUUGGAUAAUGAUGUCCACCACAUUCCAUCAUCCUUGCUAAUCCCCUACCUCCUCCCUUUCCCUCCCUCCUGUCUUCCCUAUCUAGAAUUCAUCUAUUCAUCCCAUAUUCCCCCUCCCUACCUCAUUUUGAGUCAGUCUCCUUAUAUCAGAGAAAACAUUUGGCAUUUGUUUUUUUGGGACUGGCUAACUUCAGUUAGCAUUAUCUUCUCCAACGCCAUCCAUUUACCUGCAAAUGCCAUGAUUUUAUUGCUGAGUAAAAUUCCAUUGUGUAUAUAUGCCACGUUUUUUUUUUUAACCAUUCAUCACUGAAGGGCAUCUAGGUUGUUUCCACAGUUUAGCUAUUGUAAAUUGUGCUGCUGUAAACAUUGAUGUGGCUGUGUCCCUGUAGUAUGCUAUUUUUAAGUCCUUUGGGUAUAGUCCGAGGAGAGGAAUAGCUGGGUCAAAUGGUGGUUCCAUUCCCAGAUUUCCAAGGAAUCUCCAUACUGCUUUCCAUAUUGGCUGCACCAAUUUGCAGUCCCACCAACAAUGUAUGAGUGUACCUUUUUCCCCACAUCCUCGCCAACACUUAUUGUUGUUUGUCUUCAUAAUAGCUGACAUUCUGACUGGAGUGAGAUGAUAUCUUAGAGUAGUUUUGAUUUGCAUUUCUCUGAUUGCUAGAGAUGAUGAGCAUUUUUUCAUAUAUUUGUUGAUUGAUUGUAUGUCCUCUUCUAAGAAGUAUCUGUUCAGCUCCUUGGUCCCUUUAUUGAUUGGGUUAUUUGUUAUUUCGGUGCUUAGCUUUUUAAGUUCUUUAUAUACCCUAGGGAUUAGUGCUCUAUCUGAUGUGUGAGGGGGAAAGAUUUGCUCCCAGGAUGUAGGUAGGCUGUCUGUUCACCUCACAGAUUGUUUUUUUGCUGAGAAAAUCUGGACAUUUUUUUCAACAUGUUAUCUUUAGUGUACCUGUUGCUAGAUGGGUGUAGAUGUUCUAAGUGUGAUAUUUGCAUAUAUCAAUGUGUCCGAUGAGAAUAAAAGAUUUUUUUUAUAUGUCUCUCUUUGUGCAAACAACCUAGAAGCCCUCAUAAACUCACCCUGAAUCUGAAAUGUGCACAUAUAUACAUACCUAUGCUGUUUUUUCCUUUGUAUAUUAUGUGUAUUAUAAUUUGUACAUAAUGGUGGAAUUUGUUGUUACACAUUCAUGCUUGCACACAAUAUAACAGUAUAUUUUGGCCUUGAUUGUUCCCCCAGCACUUACCCCCUCCUUCCUUGUCUCCCAACCCCAGUUGUUCUCCUCUACUCAUCUCCCUUUGAUUUUCCUAAGAUUCCUACCACCACCUUUUUAAAAUCUUUUCCCCCUCUAGUUUCCACAUAUGAGAGAAAACAUAUAACCCUUGACCUUAUGAGUUUGGCUUAUUUCAUGUAACAUAAUGGUCUCUAGUUCCAUCUGUUUUUGUGCAAAUUACACUUCAUUUUUCUUUAUGGCUGAAUAAAACUCCAUUGGGUAUAUAUGUCAAGUUUUCUUUAUCCAUUUAUCUGUUGAUGAACACCUAUACUAGUUCUCUAGUUUGGCUAUUAUGAAUUGUGAUGCUAUGAUGUAUCACUAAAGUAUGGUGACUUUAAUUCUUAGAAUAAGUAUUGAGGAAUGGUAUAGGUGGGUCAUAUAGUAGUUCCAUGCCUAGUCUUUUGAGGAACCUUUACACUGAUUUCCAUAGUGGUUGUACUAAUUUACAAUCCCACCACCAGUGUAAAGGUGUUUCUUUUUCUUCAUCAUUUAUUAUUGUUUGUAUUCUUGAUGACUGCUGUUCUGUCAGGUGAGAGAUGAAGUCUCAGUGUAGUUUUGAUUUACGUUUCCACAAUUGCUAAUGAUGAACAUUUUUUCAUGAUUUUUUUUUUUUUUGGCCAUUUGUAUUUCUUCUUUUGAGAAGUGUUUGUUUAAUUCGUUUACCCAUUUAUUAAUUAGGUUAUUUGAGUUUUUUUGUGUUUAGUUUUUUUUUUUUUAGUUCUUUAUAUAUAUUCUAGAUAUUAAUCCUCUGGCAACAUGCCCAACAGGCCUAUAUGUCCCUCAAUAUCCUGGUUUUUAUCAUUGUUCACCCUAUUUUCUGCCCUGGGAUCUACCAUGUCUGGAUGCAUCAAUGGGCUCCUUUUGCCCUGUUAUUCCUGGUUAGGUUUGGCCAGUGGGAGCAUAAGCAGGAGGUUAAAGGAGAUAGGAGAGUGAAGUUGGGGUGUUUUUCAUAGACCCCCUACCUGCUGGUGGCCCUGGGUAGAUCCAAAGUUCCUGGGUUCCUGCACCCUGGAUUCUGGUAACUGUUGCUGCUUCAUGUCCCUUCAGACUUAAGUGACCUAAUAGCCUUGUGGUUUUCCUAUACUUCAUGUGUAUUCCUAGUUCUUUUCUUGUGAAUUAAAAUUCUGUUCAUUUUAUCUUAAGGGCCCAGCUUGUUGGAAACUUCACUCUGGAUAUUUCCAUAUUCAGCUGCAUUUGGAUACUAUCCGCUAGUUUCCUUCAAUAACUGGUCAUGUUUUCUCACACUGUGUUUUCUAAUAGAAUUCUUUUUCUGCUGUAUGCUUCCAUUGGUCUGUGUUCGCUUGACUUUUUCUUUUCUCCCCAGAAAUGUUAUGUGAUAAUUUGCUUCCUAAUUGAGCCUUUCAUCUUUGUAGGCACUUUGUCCAGGAAAAGGGAGUAUUUCCUCAAGACUGUGUGGCUCUCUUAACUGCCCUAGUAUCAUUUAACAACAGCUACCUAUUAAAGAAAACCUCAUAAGGUCCACGUGCUUUCUGGAAUUUACCUUUUUUGGUUUUGGAUAUGGCAUGGUAGUCAUGAUGACAUUGUUGACAAUAAUAUUAGAAUAAAACAUUUUGUUAGAGUUAUUCAUUAGUAACUCUAAGCAAGUGUUUACUAUGUGCCAAGCACUGUUAUAAGGUAUCCCCCCCCCACACCCCUUGCAGUGCUUGGGAUUGAAGCUAAGGCCUCAUGCAUUCUAGGCAAGUGCUCUACCACUGAGCUACAUCCUCAGCCCUAUUACAAAUCCUUUAUAAACACAAACUGAAUGUAAUCUUUUUUUUUUAAUAUUUAUUUAUUUAUUUUUCGGUGGACACAACAUCUUUGUUUGUAUGUGGUGCUGAGGAUCGAACCCGGGCCGCACGCAUGCCAGGCGAGCGCGCUACCACUUGAGCCACAUCCCCAGCCCCCAUGAAUUUAAUCUUAAGAAAGUAGUAAAUAGGCAGAUACUAUAAUUAUUCACAUGUUAAUUUUUGUAAAUGAAGGAACUGUAACACACAGAGGUUCUGUAAUCUGGCAAGGUUUUUCACUUAGUAAGUAGUGGAUCUAGGAUUUGAUCCUAAGCUGUCUCACUUAAGAACAGGGAUUUUGUCUGUUUUAUUGCUCCUAGAAUCCCUAGUGCCUAGAACAUUGCCUAGACUUAGUAUUUCUUCUUUCUUUUUUUUUUUUUAAUUGUAGGCAUACACAAUACCUUUAUUUUAUUUGUUUAUAUGGGGUGCUGAGGAUUAAACCCAGUGCGUCACACAUGCUAGGUGAGCACUGCACUGCUGAACCACAACCCAGGCCCUAGUAUUUCUUAAUAAUUAUUUGUUUAACAAAUGUAUAAACAGACUACUUGCUAUACUGCAGAUCUAUCCUGGAGUGGGAUUCUAAGUGUGGCUCUAAUUUGUUACUUUCUUGGGCUAAAAUAUUGUUUGCUAACUAGAAGUGUUGCAUUUCUAUUAGCCUCUAGGCUCUACUUUGACUGUAAGGGUAUCUUAAUACAUUUUCUGUUGUGUCUGAAUACUACAUACUGGGUGAUUUACAAUGAAUAGAUGUUUAUUUAGCUGGUAGUUCUGGGGGCAGAGAAAUCCAAGAGCUUGGUCCCAGUUGAUUUGCUCAGCAUCUACUGAGGGCUUUCUUGAUGCAUUCUAACAUGGAAGAAGGUAUCUCUUAUCAAGAGAAAGCUUGGAUCUCUUUUUCUCUCCUAUUAAAACCCUCAUGACCUCAUUCAAUCCUGAUUACCUCUCAAAAGCUUCACCUGCAAAUAGCAUUAACAUAUGAUUUUGGAGAUUGUUUUCAACAUGUAAACUUUUGGAGGAAUACAUUCAAACCAUAGCAAAGUGUAAAGGUGAUGGCAAAGUUCAAAUUGAGCUAACAUUAACCUUGGUUUCUGUAAGGAGGACCAAUGCUGACUCAUGCUGUCAACUCUGGGUCUCCAGCAUGCUAGGAACUUAGUGUUUUAAUGUUCAUAUUUCAUUCACCCAUCUAAGGACAACUUAUUUGAUAUUUGGAAGAACGUAAUGCCUCUUCUUUCUAUAAACUCUGCUUUGCAUGGUUAUUUUUCCAAAAAUUUGAACAGGUAUAUUAUUUUGUACCUGUAAAUAUGAUCUUUUGAAUACAAGACGAGAUGUGAUCAAAUAUAUCUGUGGCUAUGAUUUUAUCUUGUUAAAUAGGGAAAUAAGAAGAAACUUUCACUUGGGUAGAAAUAAUAUUAUACUCUGAUGAGAAGAUAGCUUCUACUUCCUGGUCAUUGAAUGGACUGGAUUGUUAAUUUGAGUUCUUUCCUCUAUGUUUUCUGUUUGGCUAUUCCUGAGUCGGUUUGAAUCAUAACUGGAUUGGUGAAGUUGAGGAAUCAUGAAAGCUAAACUAGACCACAGGAUUCUAAUUUAUUUUUUGGGUACCAGAGAUUGAAACUCAGGGGCACUCAACCACGGAGCCAUAUCCCCAGCCCUAUUUUGUAUUUUAUUUAGAGACAGGAUCUCACUGAGUUGAUUAGCGCUUUCGUUAUUUAGUGACAGGGUCUCGCUGAGUUACUUAGGGCCUCUCAGAGUUGCUGAAUUGGCUUUGAACUUGCAGUCCUCCUACCUCAUCCUUCCAAGUUGCUGGAAUUAUAGGUGUGUACCACCACAGCCGGCCCAAGAACCUUUUUUUUUUUUUCCUCUUUGAGUAAUUUCCAGUAACAAUGGGAUACAGAAAUGCCUCCUUCUGGUCUUGCUUAUUGUCGAUAUCACUUAACUGUUGCUUUGCAUAUGUUCUCAGCCUACCCAGUAGAUACCAUCAAUGGUAAGGAUGCCAGAAACCUCAGAUUCUUUUGUUGGAUCAAUAAUGGGGUACAGGAAAUAGAAAAGGAUAUUUUUCACUUAAGACUAUAUCUAUUCAGAAUAUUAUAAUCAUGGAUUAAAAUAAUGGAGCAUAUGAACCUCAACUUUAUGAUUUAAUGACUUGUGUACUGCUGAAUUUUAUUGGGUAAGGAAAGUUUGGUUCUGUGUUUUAGGGUUCUGUGUCUUGUGUCUUAGUCUUUGGGUUAUCAAAGGGGAGAGGAGUUCUGUACUUGUGAGAAUAACUGGGUAUAUCCUCACCUAGGUGGUUUCGCAUAGUUCACAUAUAACUAUGUUAUUCUGCUUCAGAUUUCCCCAAACUCUUCUAUUUUUUUUUUAAACAUUUACUUUUUAGUUGUAGUUGGACACAAUGCCUUUAUUUUGUUUACUUAUUUUUAUGUGGUGCUAAGAAUCGAACCCAGGGCUUUGCACAUGCUAGGCGAGCACUCUACCGCUGAGCCACAACCCCAGCGCCCCCAAACUCUUCUAAUUGACUUGUGUAACUUAACAAAUCCUUAUUAUCUUACUUUGUUUAAAUGUGUGUCAAAAUGAUUUUUAUAUUUUGGUUUGCUGGAAUAGGUACACAUAUCUAUGUAUAAUUAUAAUCAAGAUGCUGAGUAGUAUUAUGUUUUUACUGUGCUAUGCUAGGUGCUUUACAUGCAUUAUCCCAUUUAUUCCCCCAAACAACAAAAGAGCUUCUGUUACUGCUCAUAUUUUACAGAGGGAGAAACUGAGCACAAAGUGUAAAAUAAGGUCACAAUAGCCAGGAAAAAGUAGACUAGGAUAUUUAAAUCCAGAUUUCUGUGAUUCUAAAGCCCAAACACAACAUAUUAACUCAUACUGGUUCCUUUGUGCUUAACUUUCAAGUCAGAUUGUUAAUGAAAAUAAUUCAAGUUAGAUUGUUAAUGAAAGUAAUGUGUCUGAUAGGUAGAACUCUUAACUUUACUGCCUGUACCAGCAAAUUUUCAUGUGACUCUAACCCACAUAAAGAAUGCUCCAUUUUCUUAUUUUACUCUUGUAGGAACUGAAAGAUGUGGGCCAUCGUGAUCAGAUGGCCGCAGCUAGAGGAAUCCUGCAGAAAAAUGUUCCGAUCCUCUAUACUGCAUCCCAGGCAUGCCUACAACAUCCGGAUGUCGCAGCCUAUAAGGCCAACCGGGAUUUGAUAUACAAGCAGCUUCAACAGGCAGUCACAGGCAUCUCCAAUGCAGCCCAAUCUACAGCAUCAGAUGAUGCCUCCCAGCAUCAGGGUGGAGGAGGAGGAGAAUUGGCAUAUGCUCUCAAUAACUUUGAUGUAAGUUACACUUGAGAGGAAACUUCAGACUCUCACCAGUAUGCAAAAGAUGACACUUAGAUUUGUGAUAUAAGUAGAAGAAUCAUCAGUCUACUUAAUCAUAACUUGAUUUAAAGCAUUUAUCUUUUUUCUUAGCUUGGAUUGGAUUUCGGGAUUCUUUUUUGCAACAAGUAUAUUUCCUAUGGGGUCAUUCUUCUUCUUUUUUUUUUUUUCUUCCUUUUUUUUGGUUCUGAGAAGUAAACCCAAGGGCUACAUCUCCAGCUUCCCCUCCCCCCACUUAAAAUUUUUUUUUAGUUGUUGAUGGACGUUUAUUUUAUUCAUUUAUUUAUAUGCGGUGCUGAGAAUCCAACCCAGUGCCUCACACAUGCUAGGCAAGUGCUCUGCCAAUGAGCUACAACCCCAGACCUCCAGCCCUUUUUAUUUUGAGAUAAGGUCUCACUAAGUUGCUGAGGGCCUCACUUAUUGAGGAAAGCCUCAAACUUGUGAUCCUCCUGCGUCAGCCUCCUCAGUCAUUAGGAUUAAGGAUGUGUUACACUGCACCCGGCUAUGAGAUCAUUCUUUUUUAUUUUUUAAUUUUCUUUUCAGAUGUUGAUGGACUUUUAUUUUAUUCAUUUAUUUAUAUGUGGUGCUGAGAAUUGAACGAAGUGCCUCACACAUGCUAGGCAAGCACUCUAUCAAUGAGCCCCAGUCCCAAGAUCAUUCUUUAUUGAGGAUAUGAAUCUAGUUCAUUUGAUCCAAGAUUUUGACCUUCUGGAAGAUUCAUGAAGAUAUUGGAAAUAGAGCAGCAAUGUGUGCAGAGGUUUUGUCCCCUAAGAGAUCAUGGUCUAGUGGGGUAUACAGAUAUAUCAUAGUGACUGCUGCCAUCUUAAUCUUAUUUGUCUGCCUAGAUGUACUUCUCAGUAACUUUAAUUUGAAUCAUGAACAUAAAAUUUAAUCAAGUGGAAGCAGAUUUUGAAAUUAGCAUAAUACCACAUAUUGUGUGUAUAUACAGCCCUGUGUAUAUGACAUUAACUUCUUUGGUGGGUUUUGUUUUUAAUUCCUACCCAUACUGCUUCAUGGCUUCCAGUAGAUGGCAGCAGUUUAAGAUUUCUUUUUUUAAAGGGUAUUUUGUUUUGUUUUAAACCCAAUUGGUGGGGUAAUUUUUCUUUUUUUUAAAAUUAAGGUAAAGGAAACCAGUGUCCUUUCAGAAUAGAAAUAUUCAGGUUAUAGAAUCAAUACAAGGGGAGUGUAUUUUGUUUUUAACAUUUUUUUCUUUGCCUUAAUGUUUUCUUUGUCUGAUCCUUUAGGCUUUGUCUUAUCCUUUAGGCUUGUGUAACUGAUCCUUGCUGGUGUGCAUGGUUGAUUUAGGAUGGUCUUUUCAUGAAGCGUGAAGGCAGUGUUAAGCCUAAAGACCAUGAUAUUAGAAUUGAAAUUUUACCCUGGACCCUUAAACAUGAAAUAAAAUACCCAUUUAUAAGGAACUCUUAGGCUGCACCUAUAAUUUACUGGAACUGUUGUUUUCUCCUCUUCCAGUUUGACAGUAUUAGGUAUUUAUCUCUUUCAAGUUAGUAGGGGUCACAUUUUACCCUAAAUUAUUAAGUAAUAUCUGUAAUAUAAUAGCAGAAACCACUUAAUUUCUUAGAAUCACCGUUUCUUCAUUUGUAAAUGAGGGUUUGUCCUAAAUGAUCUGAGGCUCAUUGUGGCUCCACGAUUGUAUUACAAUUCUAUGAUCAUCCAUUCUUCAUUUCUAUUGGCCAGAAAGUAUUUUGUAUUCAGUUUUUAAUCAGAGAAAUCCUGUUAUGCAAAUUUGGUAAGAAAAAUGGUUAAGUAAAAUGUGUGGAUUAAUAAUAAAUUUAAAGUAUUACAUGUUCAAUUUUAAAACUGAGGUUUCUUUGGAAGGAAAGGAAAAAAUAUUUACUCAUUUGAAAACAUCAAGCUUUUUGUAGGAAAAAAAUUGGCAUUUAAAUUGAAAUUAAUAAGGACAUAAUCCUUAUAAAGAAAAAUUAAACCCAAAGUAAUUUGCACAGAUGGUUACCAUUGUGAGUGUAAAUUGUAUCAAGUGGGGACAUAGAUGAUCGAACUUGCACCUGUAGCUUACUUGUAUUUAGACCACACUCACUGGCAAAACUGUGUUUAAGUGGAGUCAGGAGGGAAGGGGAGAUGACAACAAUUUGUUUUUAGUGGAGCAAUUAUACUUCUUGCUAUCUUAGUGUACUUGUGGUCUUUGAGGAGGAAAGUUUCUAAUUUAGACACAAUAGGAUACAUUUGAGACCAAAUUGUUUAUAAAUCUUGAUUAGAUGUAUAAGGAGAGAAGUAGAUGGAAAUUAAUUUUAAUAAAUGCAUUUCUUUCUGAAAUUUUGGUGACAGAAGUAAAUUUUGUUUUUAUUUUUAAAUAUUUUUGUGUAGAACAAUUUUGCUACUCAUGUAGCAGUUUUAUACUUUGAAUGUAAGAAAGAUAAAUUAUUUUCCUUAUAAUUCUUAUUUGAUAAUAUGAAUUACUAAUACAGACUGACCUAUAGCUGUUUAGAAAAAGUAGUGUGGACAUGAUACAGUUGUAUUUGCAUUUGUGGUAUACCUUACCCAGACUGCUUGGCUGGAUAGUGCCUUUUUUGAAAAGUGAUUUAUUAUAGACCAACUUAUAGGAUGGCCCUUUAGCUACCAAGAAGAAUAACUUUCUAUUAGGUAUUAGAAUUAAAUCUUGAUAUUCCUAAACACUUUCCCUUACCUUGAAUGAUAAAGGGAACAGAGAUGAGCAUUCAUAUUCAAUAAUACUUUCUUGACAGAAACAAAUCAUAGUGGACCCCUUGAGCUUCAGUGAAGAGCGCUUUAGGCCUUCCUUGGAGGAGCGCCUGGAAAGCAUCAUUAGUGGAGCUGCCCUGAUGGCUGACUCGUCCUGCACACGUGAUGACCGUCGUGAGCGGAUCGUGGCAGAGUGCAAUGCUGUCCGCCAGGCCCUGCAGGACCUGCUCUCAGAGUACAUGGGCAAUGUGAGUGUCAGAAUCUUUCUUUAAAGUAAGAUAGUUGUAUCUCAGG
Molecule: long non-coding RNA, 46415 nt
Filed under: Marmota monax (woodchuck)
Lineage: Eukaryota; Metazoa; Chordata; Mammalia; Rodentia; Sciuridae
Rfam family: tRNA (bases 5123-5193)
Source: RNAcentral